GCCGUCGGAUCAAACCGACAUUGAUCGCAUGGUUUUCCUUGAUCCUUUAGGUCGGUGGAGCAUAAUCCGCGAAACGUGUCCUGAUUGGGCACUGUAGCUGGGCGGGCGCCCAGGAGAGUUGGGCGGGCGCCCUGCCUCCGAGCCCGAUUUCCUUCCCGUUCGUUCCCGUGGCUUCUAGAGUCUUCUAGAUGAUAGAAAAUUGCGCGACACGUUAAUAUCUCUAUGUAAACCCGACGUGUGGGAGUUUCUUCCGUAUUUCCUGAUAACCCCCUGCAGAAAUAGACAAACACCAAAACUCGUGGAAUUCUGUCAGAUAAAACCCUAAUUCUAGGUGUUGGUUGCAUUUGGAUCCUUUUCCAUGAUUAGUUGAUGGUUAAAUCUGAGCAUUAAGGACCGUCAACAGAAGCAAGCCUCGGGUUAGGAGACUUGAUCCCGCAGGUACAACUCGGAGUAGACACCGACAGGCCGGCCUUCCUCCGAUCCACACCUCCACUCUAUCUCUCUCAAUCUAGUAGAAACUAGAAGAUCUAUUUCUACUUUACAUUGGUUGCUAAGCCUAAAAAGAAAUAUUAUUUAGAGAAGAGGUUUUCCUUCGAGGGCACCCCUCAAUCUCUAUGAUAAUUUCUUGUCUUCUCCAGGGGCCAGGGGGGUCUCCUUAUAUAGUCCUCCUCCUCUAUGCGUUUUUGGUUCAGCAGGCGAUGUGGUACUAAACUUUCCACCAUAUCUCAUUAAAAUGCACAUAGGCCUUAAUGGACCAAAAUCUGAUUUGGGCCCAAUUAAUCCCGCAGCUCUUUUAUAUGGAGUCCUUUUAUUAAUAUCUCUUGAUUCCGAACUCCAAAUAUAGCAAAUAAUAUAUGCAUUUCGAUCAGCUCGACAAGAUCUUUGCAAUGGUGUACUCCAUUCUGUGAUUGGUGGAAACACCUGGGCGGGCGCCCAAGGGGGGUGGGCGGGCGCCCUGCCCUCGGGCCCGUUUGCCUUCUCGUUCGUUCCCGUGGCUUCUGGAGUCUUCUAGAUGGUAGAAAAUUGCGUGGUGCGUUGAUAUCUCUAUGUAAUCCCGACAUGUGGGCCUUUCUUCCUUAUUUCCUGAUAACCCCCUGCAGAAAUAGACAAACACCAAAACUCGUGGAAUUCUGUCAAAUAAAACCCUAAGUCUAGAUGUUGAUUUCAUGUGGAUCCUUUUCUUUGUUUAUUUGAUAAUUAAAUUUGAUACUUAAGGACCGUCAACAGUACUCAGCUAGACUUACCCGACAUAAAUUAAAAUAAAGACUCUUCAAGGAUCAUGAAGGCUAUAUAGUGAGGUAGCUGACGACCAUUUUGCAAAACCGCAGAAUUCUAUUAUCAUCACCUAGAUAAAUCUUUUCUUCUUUUAAUUUGCUCAAGUUGAAGGUAUCAUUACCUAUUAUCAAGGUUUUGCACCUGAACUAUUACAAGCAAUUAUAAAGAUAUGAUAGUACCUCAUCAUAGCAUUCAUAAACCAUUUAUCAUUAUAACCCAAGUGCUCCAUAGUCCUUACUACGAGGACGAAGCUCAUGUCAAGUGCUCACUAUCCAGGAGCGAUGGCGAUUCGAAUCGAUUUCUAACCAGCUGGCGAGGUAUUCCCCACACAAACCACACUCACUGAUCAAGUGAGCUACAGAUCACCGUAUUACACUAUCCAGGACCAAUUCGCGGGUUCGGCAGGCACCGCCAGUACCCGAGGACCGUUCCGGCGACCGAGGUAUCCAAGGUAUACCAAGGUUGCGCGCCGCGCCCUCGUCAUUCUCCUCAACCAUCACCAAUACAGCGCAUGGCGGCUCGAUUCCCGGCCCGGAUAGUGUUCAGGCUUCGCGGUCGGAACGGCUUAUCCUUCCAGCUAAGUGUGGGGCAUGCGUUCAACAUGACAAGAGGGCCGUCAACGACCGGUCCUUAAUCGACACAGGCAGAGGCACUAUGGUCAAACCACCAUAAGACCCGGCCUGGUCUCAAAUUCCAUUCCACACUUGGUUAUUCUUUUCCCAAAGCAACCACUGCUUACCCAAGCAGGUAUCCACCUAUAUCUCGCAGGUGACCGGAAAUCACCCGACUUCUACCGGACUAUGCAAGCUAAGCAUCGACUCCGUACCUAUCUACAUAGGACAAGGUAGAUAAAUGAGGGGUGAUAUCAAGGAGUACCAAUGCAUCAACGGUAUCAACCAACUCCUAUCACUUAGAUGCAGUAAUAUAGAACAAGCAUAAUAUAUCCUGUAAGUUAGCGAGAAUAGGGAGACUUAGAAUGCUCUGGGGCUUGCCUUUCUCAAACAUGCUGGCUCGGUGAUGCGGACACUCCUGCAGUUCCUCUCUGGACUCCUGUGCUUCCGGAGGUUCCUGCUCGUGAAUCUCCUCUGGUUCCUCGGGUCCCACCUCGUUCUCCUGCGAGCCUGUAUGAUGCAUGUGUGCUCAUGAGUGGAGUGCGAGAUGCCCGAGUGGAUGCUUGUAUGAGAAGGUACCAAAGGAUCAUGACAUGAUGCAUAGAUGAUACACUUGGUCAUGCUCAUUACAAGGUAGUCAACAUCAUCCAGGAACAGACAAUUGGACUAAACAUCUAGUGCAUUCUCUUCUACAAGUAUUUUUCAAGUGUGACCAGCAACCCACAAGUUGCUUCAAAGAUACACCAAACCCAAACUUAUUCUAUUCAACCUAUACAUACAACAAUUCAUAAUUUUCUUUAUUCAUUUCUAGGCCCAUUAAAUUUACAUGCAGUUCUGUUCAUGAAUAAAUUCCUCAAAAAUCACAGGAGACUACCAGUCAAGCAUAAAGUCUACUGUAAAUUUUUCAUAAUUUUUGGAUACUUAUUUUGAGCUACAAAAAUCACAGGAUUAAUUAAUAAGGUAAGUAUAAUCACUCUACUGUGAUAUAAGUGUCAAACAACAGAUUUCAUAUUUUUACAAUUUGUCUAAUAUCAUAAGAUACACCCACAAAAUUUUCCAGAUUUAUUGCAUGAUCCAAUUAAUUUUUAAAAAUCAUAAACCACUGCCAUGCAAGCAUUUAAAUUACCAUAAAUUCAUUUAUACACCAAAUAAUAUGUAGCAAUAUUUUCCCAGUGAGUAAACAUACAUGCAGAGCCAACAAAUCAAGUUUCACAUUUUUCUCAACCAUAUUUUAAUUACUAUGCAUUUUCAAAGUUUAGCAAAAAACAUGGAUUAAAUAUUUUCAUACAGAAAAGUUACUCAAACAUGACAUGCAAUUACAUCAAACUGUAGAUCUGGAAAUAUAGAGCACACCAAAAUUUAUUUCAUCAAAUUUCGAGCUGUAGAACUCAAGAUAUGAAUUUUAAAACUUUCGAAUCGAUUUCUGGAAAACAUUUAUUCAAGAAAACCGACGAAAAAGGCUAAACACACCCUGAUCUACACCCACCGGGGUCCCCCUGUGACUGACAGUGGGCCUCUGGCCCCACUGUUCAGCGAGACUGAGAGGGAGCUCACCUCCGACGAGCAGAUCUCGCCGGCGGUGAGGUCCCCGGCCACGGGGUGAGCACCAACGUGCUCCCCGCAGCGAGGCGCACCCAGCGGUACUCUCGGAUUGACCGGAGGAUGGCCGGAGCACCUCCGACGAGCGUGCAUGGUGGCACAGCGGCGCUGCUCGCCGUGGCCAGGCCGCUCGGGCGUGGUAGAGCGUGCGCAUACGGCUCUCCGAGCUUCCUCACCACCCUACCGACCUAGCGCAACCAAAAACCAGCAAAAAGAGGCAGGGAAACGCAAGAUACGUCGCGGCGGAGUACUCCGGCGAGCUCGGGGUAACUCCGGCGAGCUAUUCACGGCGCUCGAUGGACUCUCACCUCGGUAGAACGCUCGCACAAGCUUACCCUAACGAUGGCAAAGGCGCUGGUGGCUUCGGUGUCGAGUUUUGGUCACCGGAGUGGCCGGCGGUGAGCAGCGGAGCUGCUCCGGCGAUGGCGCCGCGGCGGAGUUCUACGGCUCGGUUGCGCUCGCGAGCGGAGGGAGGAAGGAGAAGGGCGUGGGCGACAGGAUGGAGGGAAUGGCCUGGGAGCCCGAGCCGGCGUCCCGACCAGGGGGUGUUGGAGGCCGGCCGCGGCGCGCUCCUCGCCAGCGUACGGCCGCCAUGUGGCCGACGCUGGCUGGGACGAGGCGCGUCCGCGCGCGGGAGAGAGGGGGAGGGGGAAGCAGGCCGGGCCGCUCGCUGGGCCGAAAGGGAGGCGGGGUUGGCCCGGCAGCGCCUGCCCCUUUUCAUUUUUUUUUGAAUUUCUUUUCUCCAAAUCCUUUCUAAAUUCAUUUGGACCAAUUUAAAAUCAUUUUCACCUCUUGCUCCCAAAAACAAAGUUGUUCCAAAACAAAAACCCCACAACUUUGUUUUAAUAAGCAAGACCAAAUUCCCAACAGAAUUUGAAUUACAAAUUAAAACUAGUUCUAGGUUUUCAAAUAAAUUCAAUUUGGGGAUUUUUGUAUAAAUUCCAUUUCUCAAAUUCUAUAGCUCCAAAAAUUGCACAAAAAUAUUCUUAAUUCUUCUUACACAUAAUUCAACCUAGUUUGAAUAUUUCACAUUUUUAGAAGCAAGCAUCAUAUUUUUAGCAUAAUUAAAACACAUGAAAUAAAGCACACAAAAUCAUGUUUUUGGGAUGAAUGACAUGCUCAUGAUGCUAUGCUUGAUGAGAAUGCUUAUGCAUGUUGUAAUAGGGCUAAAUGCAUGCUUAACACCUAGGGUGUUACAGGGGCCAUUGCUCAGGCUGGCAAGGCUAUCGAGGAUCUCCGCGUUGCCAACACUGUGCUGGCCCGCUCCACCAAAGAGAUCGAGAGGGCCAACACCAGACUAGUUGGCGAGAACACGGCCUUGGAGGAGAGUGUCCGUAGUACGUUUCCUCUGUCGGAUUUCUUUUUUGAGGUGUGCUUGGUUUUUCCUAAAGUUUCUUGUAUUGGCAUUUACAGGGCUUAAGGACGAACUCUUAGCCACCCAAGUUGAGGCCCGUAGUGCUAAGGCCCAGCUCGAGGCGGAGGUUGCUUUGAACCGUCGAGUGCGGACGGCGAUAAACGACCUCUCGACCUCUUGGGAGGUCGAGCCUAUGGACGAGUCGAAGGAGGUCGAGCCUAUGGUCGACCAGCUGUGCUACUUAGGCGCGAUGCUGAGAGAUCGGGUGCGGGAUGCCCUCCACAUCGGGGUGAAGCGGGCGAUGGCGGUUGUCUGCUCGGGCUUCACCUACGACAUGGAGGUGGUGUCCCACGGCUUCGUCACCGACAUCUCCAUGACCGACGCGGAGAACGAAGAGAGGCUCCAUGCCUUGAUCGACGACGCGGAGGCUCCUGGAGAGAGGCUGGCCAAGCUUUCUGAGCCUGAGGUGCUUCCUCCUGAGACUAGCUCGGGCGCAGGCGAGGGUGGUGAGGAUCGUGCUGUAGACUAAGGCCUGCGAGCCUUCUUUGGGUGCUGGGGGCCCCUUGUAUAGUACUCCUAUUAACUUGUUUUUAAGGGAUAUGGUGUCUUUAAGUAUUUGUUAAAUGUUUAUCUGUCUUUCCGCUCAAGGCUCUUUUAUUUCCCUUUGCGCCUACGUUUGUAUUCCUCGUUCGAUCUUUUGUCAAAAACAGCCUGGAUCACCUCAAGGGUGGGGAAGUGAGUAGAGUUUCCAUAGCCUGGGGGCGUAGGAGUUCUCAGGCUUGUUGUCCCUCGUCCCUUAAGGGGCUGGAGGCACCUCAACUUACUCGAACGUGCAAGGUUUACUAGGUUUCUUGGCUUUUUCGACACUUGGGGGGGUCGCCCCCCCUGGUAGCCCCCGAGGGAGUAUCGACUAUGAUGGGUCAUAGUUGGUACUCCCUUCUGACGUCGAGAUUUGAGAAAGUAAAUCGCUCGAGGGAAAGACUUCAUUUAUUCAUACAUUCAUUUACAAGGCCUUGGUACAGAAUGUACGUAGGAACAUAAAGUUUUGAACUUCUAGGGGUAGAAUCGACGUAGCUGUUCGAUGUUCCACGCGUUGGUGAAGAUCGUCCCCUUUUCAUCCGCGAGCUUGUAUGUCCCUGGCUUCAGGACCUCGGCCACCACGUAUGGGCCCUCCCAAGGUGGAGUCAGCUUGUGGCGUCCUUGAUUACUUUGCCGGCGUCGUAGGACAAGGUCGCCCACGUUUAAGUCCCUCUUGCGCACGUGGUUGUCGUGGUAGCGUCGAAGUCUCUGCUGGUAUCUGGCAGAGUUAAGGAGGGCCAUGUCUCGAGCCUCCUCGAGUUGGUCGACCAUGUUUUCUUGAGUCUCCUUAUUUGAUUGCUCGUUGUACGCUUUAAGUCGAGGGGACCCAUACUCGAGGUCUGUGGGGAGGACGGCCUUAGAGCCAUAGACCAUGAAGAAUGGGGUGUAUUUUGUGGCCCUGCUUGGUGUUGUCCUUAGGCUCCAUAGGACCGAGGAAAGCUCCUCGACCCACUUUUUGCCGAAUUUCUUCAAGCGAUUGUAGAUCCUUGGCUUGAGUCCUUGUAAAAUCCUACCGUUGGCACGCUCGACCUGGCCGUUAGUUCGAGGGUGGGCUACUGCAGACCAGUUCACACGGAUGUGAUGCUGAUCGCAGAAGUCCAAGAACUUUUUGCCGGUGAACUGAGUGCCGUUGUCGGUGUUGAUGACGUUGGGAAUCCCAAACCGGUGGAUGAUGUCGGUGAAGAAAAGGACGGCCUGCUCGGAGCGGAUGUUGGUGAUGGGUCGAGCCUCGAUCCAUUUGGAGAAUUUGUCGAUGGCCACGAGCAAGUGGGUGUACCCUCCUUUCGCCUAUUGUAGGGGCCCUACUAAGUCGAGCCCCCACACCGCAAAUGGCCAUGUAAUGGGGAUCAUCUGAAGAGCGUGGGCGGGCAGAUGCGUCUGUUUGGCGUAGAACUGGCACCCAUGACAUGAGCGUACGAUCUUGAUGGCAUCUGUUACGGCCGUUGGCCAGUAGAAGCCUUGUCCGAAGGCGUUACCUACGAGGGUCCGUGGAGCGGCGUGGUGGCCGCAAGCCCCCGAGUGUAAGUCCUCGAGGAGUUUCCGGCCUUCUUCCACGGUGAUGCAACGCUGCAAGACCCCCAUCGGGCUUCGUCGAUAUAGCUCAUUGCCUUCGCCAUAAAUCACAUAUGACUUGGCCUGUCGAGCGAUACGGCGGGCCUCAGACCGAUCUUCUGGCAGCUCGCAGCGGAUUAGGCAGUCGAGGAACGGUGUACGCCAGUUGAGCGGUCGACCGGGCCGCUGUUCUACCUCCAUCACCUCAACUGCCAUCAAUGGUGCGUCGACGGUGUCGGUUGGCUGGGCGAGAGCGGCAUCGACGCCAGCCCCCAAGCCCAAGUCGACGGAUGGCUCGUGAAGAUCUUUCGAGAACGCGUCAGGUGGUACCGUGCCUCAGGUCGACGCGAUCUUGGCGAGUUCGUCGGCUGCCUCGUUGUAGCGUCGGGCGACAUGGACGAGCUCGAGGCCAUGGAAUUUGUCCUCGAGUCGACGGACUUCUUUGCAGUAUGCCUCCAUUUUCGGGUCGUGGCAGCUUGAAGUCUUCAUCACUUGGUCGAUGACAAGUUGGGAGUCGCCUCGGACGUCGAGGCGUCGGACCCCUAGCGCGAUGUCGAUCUUGAGACCGUUGACGAGGGCCUUGUAUUCUGCGACAUUGUUGGAUGCGGCAAAGUGAAUCCUGAUGAUGUACCUCAUAUGGACGCCCAAGGGCGAGAUGAAUAGCAGGCCGGCCCUGGCCCCCAUCUUCAUGAGUGACCUGUCGAAAUACAUCAUCCACAGCUCCGACUGGACCUGAGUUGGGGGAAGCUGGGAGUCUGUCCAUUCCGCGACGAAGUCUACCAGAGCUUGCGAUUUGAUGGCCUUGCGAGGCGCAUAAGUGAGAGUCUCACUCAUGAGCUCGACCGACCAUUUAGCUAUUCUUCCCGUGGCCUCCUUACUCUGGAUUAUCUCACCCAGGGGGAAAGAUGAGACCACCAUGAUAGGGUGGCCGAGGAAGUAGUGCUGCAGCUUACGGCGGGCGAGGAUUACGGCAUAGAUCAGCUUCUGGAUUUGGGGGUAACGUCCCUUGGUCUCUGAGAGCACCUCGCUGUCGAAAUAUACUGGCCUCUGGACUGGCAACGCAUGCCCCUCCUCCUGCCUUUCGACCACCACCACUGCACUGACAACCUAGGUCGUCAAGGCAACAUAAAGGAGCAGUGGUUCCGCAGGUUGAGGUGGGACUAUGACUGGUGCUUAGGUCAGUGUUUUCUUCAGAUUUUCGAGGGCUCCCUCGGCCUCGGGGGUCCAAGAAAAACGAUCGACCUUCUUCAGGAGUCGAUACAGCGGUAGCGCCUUUUCUCCUAAUCUCGAGAUGAAACAGCUCAGCGCCGCUAGGCAUCCCGUGACUCUCUGCACACCCUUGAUGUCUCGAAUCGGCCCCAUCCUUGUGAUGGCUGAGACUUUCUCGGGGUUGGCCUCGAUGCCGCGCUGGGAAACAAUGUAGCCCAAGAGCAUGCCUCGUGGCACACCGAAAACGCAUUUCUCGGGAUUCAGCUUGAUCUGGUUGGCGUGUAAGCAGCUAAAGCGAUCUUGAGGUCCUGGAUCAGGUCUCCUUGACGCUUUGAUUUGACGACUAUGUCGUCGACAUAGGCCUCGACCGUCGACCCUAUAUGCUUGCCAAAUACGUGGAGCAUGCAACGUUGGUAUGUGGCUCCCGCAUUUUGAAGCCCAAACGGCAUGCUUACAUAGCUGUACAUCCCGAGAGGUGUGAUGAAAGAGGUCGCGAGCUGGUCGGACUCUUUCAUUUUUAUUUGAUGGUAACCAGAAUAUGCAUCAAGAAAAGAAAGGGUUUCACAUCCCGCAGUAGAAUCAACAAUUUGAUCAAUACGUGGUAAUGGAAAGGGAAUUUUCGGACAUGCUUUAUUUAAACUCGUAUAAUCGACACACAUCCUCAUUUUCCCAUUCUUUUUCUUAACUAGUACAGGGUUUGCUAACCAGUCAGGAUGAUGAACCUCCUUGAUGAAUCCGGCCGACAAAAGCUUGUGGACCUCCUCGCCAAUGAUCUUGCACUUCUCCUCGUCGAAUCGGCAUAACCGUUGCUUCACUGGCUUGGAACCGGCUCGAAUCUGCAAGGAGUGCUCGGCGACCUCCCUCGGUAUGCCUGGCAUGUCCGAGGGACUCCAUGCAAACAUGUCGGCGUUCGCAUGGAGAAAGUCGACGAGCACAGCUUCCUAUUUGGGGCCGAGGUCGGCGCUGAUCGUCAGCACCUUGCCGUCGGAGUUGUUGGGGUCGAGCGGGAUCUUCUUGGUUCCCUCUGCCGGCUCGAAGCUGCCCGCGUGGUGUUUGGGCUCUGGAGCCUCAGCGGCCAGGGCCUCGAGUUUUGCGACGAGCUCGGUGGAGUUCUCUACCGCCUCCCCAUACUCGACGCACUCGAUGUCGCAUUCGUAAGCGUGCUCGAAGGAGGAGCUGAUAGUGAUGACGCCUUUGGGACCGGGCAUCUUCAGCUUCAAGUAGGUGUAGUUGGGUAUAGCCAUGAACUUUGCGUAGCCCGGGCGCCCGAUGAUGGCGUGGUACGUGCCCCGGAACCCGACCACCUCAAAGGUGAGGGUCUCCUUCCUGAAGUUGGCCGCCGUGCCAAAGCAGACCGGUAAGUCGAUUCGACCUACUGGCAGCGCCUUUUUCCCUGGCACAACGCCGUGGAAACCACCGGCGCUUGGUUGAAGCCGUCCCCUGUCGAUGCCAAGGAGGUCGAGGGUCUCGAGGUAGAUGAUGUUGAGGCUGCUGCCUCCGUCCAUUAGCACCUUCGAGAGCCUGGUAUUGACGAUGAUGGGGUCGACGACGAGCGGGUAGACGCCUGGGGCAACCACCUUGUCGGGGUGAUCCUCUCGGUCGAAGGUGAUGGGUGUGCUCGACCAGCUGAGGUACUGGGGCACCGCCAUUCUUGCCGCGAAGACCUCACGACGUUCCCUCUUGCGCUGCCUUGCAGUCAACUGCGUCGAGGGCCCACCAUAGAUCAUGUAGCAGUCGUGGACGACAGGGAAACCAUCGUCGUCCUUGUUGCCCUCCUUGUCACCACCCUUCUCCUUCUUGGGGUCGUCGUGCGCGUCCUUUCUGAACCCUAGGCCGUCGAAAUGCUUUUUCAGCAUACGACAGUCCUUGAGCUUGUGGUUGGCUCCUCCUUUGUGGUAAGGGCAUGGUUCCUCUAGCAUCUUAUCGAAGAUACCUCCAUAUAGGGGGGCCUUGAGGCUUCUUCCGCUCCAUGGCGGCGAUGAGGUCGUCGUCGAAGUUCUCCUGCUUGAACUGCCGCACCUUCUACUUCUUCUUGUUCUUCUUGAGCCCUCGACUAGGGGUCUCGUCUUCAUCGGCGGGCUGCUUGCCUUUCCUUCCUUCACAACUGAAGAAGGCACCGACUGCUUCCUCCCCUGCUGCGUAGUUUGCCACUACGUCCAUGAUCUCAUCGACGGUCUGAGGUCGGUUCCGACCCAAUUCCCGCACCAAGUCUCGACUGGUGGUACCAGAGACAAAUGCCAGGAUGACGUCGUGGUCGGGGAUAUGUGGCAGCUCGGUGUGCUGUUUUGAGAAGUGUCGAGCAUACUCUCAAAGAGUUUCUCACGACUUCUGCUUGCACUUGCUGAGGUCCCAUGAGUUCCUGGGCUGUAUGUAGGUCCCUUUGAAAUUACCCUCGAAGACACUAACCAAAUCGACCCAGUCGUGGAUCUGAUUUGCUGGGAGUUCCUCGAGCCACCGAUGGGCACUGUCGGAGAGGAAGAGUGGUAGCUGUCUGAUGAUGGCUCGAUCAUCUCCUCGAGCGCCUCCUAGCUGACAGGCCAGCCUAAAAUCGGCCAGCCACAACUCUGGUUUGGUCUCGCCAUUGUAUUUCGCGAUGCUGGUUGGGGGUCGGAAUGGACUGGGCAGGGGCGUGCUGCGGAUUGCCCUGCUGAACACCCGUGGGCCUGGUGGCUCGGGGGCCAUCCGGUCCUCGUCGCUGUCAUACCUCCCACCGCGGUGUGCGCUGUAACCGCGCUCUUCCGCAUCCCCAUACCGACGGCGUCGAUUCUCUUCGAUGUCAUGCCGCACGUCGUGUCGACGUUGAUUGUCGACAGGGAGGACGAGAGUGGCCUUUCUUCCUCGAGGGGGAGGCUGUUGAUGGACUGACACCUCCUUUUCGUUUUGGGGCGGCUCAUCGCGCUUUUCAGUGGCGGCUCCUCGUCGUCGAGAAGCCCAGCUUUCGGCUUGUUGAACCGCCGCUACCUGGAGCAGAGUCUGCACCUCGUCUCGAAUGCGUCGAGCUUGGGAAUUUGAUGGCUCUGGCAUGUUGCAUAGCAGCAUUGUUGCUGCCACUACGUUCUGGCCUGCUCGAGAGAAGCGGCUGACGGGUUGCUCUGGCUCCACGUCUCCGACGAUUUGCCGGUGUACCUCUCGAGCUCGCCUACAGACACUUCCGCCGGGCGGGUAAGGCAAGUCUUGUUCGAGGAUUUGCUCAAGCAGGACGAGGUGCUCACGGUCUUCGUCGAGCUUUGUCUUGAGCUCUCAUAGUUGCGCAAGCUGCACAGCCCUGUCUUCCUAUGGAAGUGGAUCGACCUAUCCGCCGUUCCCAGGCGUCCUGGGGUCUUCCCUUGCUGCGGGGGCUCGACCGCCCGCAGCUGCGUCCUGCGUCUCGUCGGUAGUUAUCUCGUCAGUAGUAAAAUAUAAUCAUCAAAUAAACAAAGAAAAGGAUCUAAAUGAAAUCAACAUCCAGACUUAGGGUUUUAUCUGACAGAAUUCCACGAGUUUUGGUGUUUGUCUAUUUCUACAGGGGGUUAUCAGGAAAUACGGAAGAAAGGCCCACACAUCGGGAUUACAUAGAGAUAUUAACGUGCCGCGCAAUUAUCUUACAUCUAGAAGACUCCAGAAGCCACGAGAACGAAGCGGAGGCGAAACGGCGCCUGGCCCUGGGCGCCCGCCCAGGAGACCAGGGCACCCGCCCCCUGUUGGAGUCCAAUCAGGACACCCUUUUGGGAUUACGCUCCACCGACCUAAAGGAUCAAGGAUAACCGUUCAAUCAAUAUCGGUUUGAUCCAACGGCCCAUAUUCACUCGAAGGGACUAUAAAACCAGAACCCGUGGCCCCUGGAGGAGAGAGCCUCUCAACCCUAAUUCAUUAUUCCUCAAGGGAGAAGAAGCCUCUGAUCAAGCCUAGAGCCACCACAUCAAUUAGACAUCUAGAUUAGCAUAGCUACAUAGGAUUAGAACUAGAAGGAGUCAAUCUUCGAUUGGUUUCCGGAUCUGUCAAGAGGAUUCUUGGUAAUUCUCUAAUUGUUCUUCUAAUUGUUCAUCAUUGUUCUUCAAUAUUAUGAAUAUGACUUUGCUCUACUUCAAUAUAUUGCUUAUGACUUUGCUCUACUUGUUUAUAUUCAAGAUUAUAUUGUUCUUAGUUUAUCAUAGUUAUAUACUUGGCUUAGUUAGAUUGGAUCUAUAUACAUGUUUAGGAUCGUAUAGCAUUUAUCUAUUGGAUCCAUGGGUAAAUGAUAGAUAUUGUGUAGGCGUGGUGCUUAUACCGUAUUUAUCUGCGAUUGUACCCAAUAUGCCAGAUCAUGGGGUAGUUCGUGAUAGUGACAGUUUCAUUGAUUCUUAUAUAGUCCCCCUCUCGUGUAUUGGGCUGGCAGAGCAACAUUAUUAUAGGGGAGUGAUUAUGAUGUUUCACAUAUUCCUUGCUAUAUCACUAUGCAUGGGCGUAGUCCUGUCUCGCAAUGAUUGCUAAGUAUACUUGCACUAACUAUGAUAAUGCUAGACUGUAUAGUUAAGAAUAACUUAGGAAAUAUUCUGUGGCUAAGUUAUGCUAAUCAGAUUAAUUAUCUUUGUCACUAUUCAUUACUUUAUAUAUCCUUUAUGUGACACUUAUCCCUGUAUGAAAGAGUUAGAUAAAUGUUCUCAAUUAUACAUGCAAUGAUAGAUGCUCAAUCUUAUAUUCCAUUCUAUAAUCAACAUUGAUGGUUACUAAUCCCUUCCCAGUGGGAAAAAUAUAAAUAACGAUACCUGGAAUACUUCCCGGUUAAAAUGCUACAUCGGUAUUUAUUUAGAUGAGCAAUUGCAUAUUUCAAUACCGCGUCUCUUAUGUCAUGCUGGGGAUGACAACUUGGCUUAAGUGGCAUGGGAGAUAGUUUUGGCAUUUUUGGCGCCGUUAUCAGAAUGAGAAAACUAAGUCUACUUUUGGUAAUGAUGUUAAGAAUACCCAGCAAUAUCCUGAAGGAAGGGAACCUCUACUACUAGAGAACAAACCUUUCAUCGAUGUGCCAAAUGAGCUUUAGUCCUAGCAUUUUUGGCGCCCGGGACAAAAGAGAUCUUUAGUCCCGGUUGGUAACGCCAACCGGGACUAACGAUCCCUCCCCAACGGCUCCGGUGUCAGGCGCUGUCGGGGAGGGACCUUUAGCCCCAGUGGAUGUUACCAACUGGGACUAAACACCUACCUUUAGCCUCGGUUUGUUCCACUAACUGGGACUAAACCUUUUGUCCCGGUCGUUGGCACCAACCGGGGCUAAAGGUAGGUGUUUAGUCCCGGUUGGUAACACCAACCAGGACUAAACCCUCCCCGCUAUAAAUUGAAUCUCCCUCCUCCCUUCUUGCACUCCCUGCCCGAGCCCGUGGUCCUUUAUUCUUGCUUGUUCUUCCAUUGUUCUUGCUUGUUAUUGCUCUCAUCUUCCGCGAUCGAUCCAUUUCAACGCUUCUACGCCGUUGUCGAUUUGUUUGAAAGGUUGCUAGCUUCAUCCUCCUAUGUUUCUCACCGCCAUAUGUAAUUUCAUGUUGGACAUAUGGCUAUUUUAAUUAUUUCAUGUUGCUAUCUCUCCAAUCAUCAUCUUCUCAUGUUUGAAUUUUUUUGAACGAUGCUAAGUGUGUGCCCGCUAGAAACUAGUGUACACAAAUCAUUACUACUAUGUAUACACAAAUCAUGUUUAGUUCUAUUAUAGAUAUUAUAGGAUAUUUUUACUUUAAUAUGGUCAUGUUCUUAUUUUAAAAUAUAUUUGUUGGACCAAACAUGGAGAGACUGGGUUAUGAUGGAAGAAGGUGAAGAAGAGCAAGCGUACCCUGACGAUGUUUUUGCUCAAUACUGCGACUUCGCGGUAUAGGACAAAGGUGAAGAAGACGGGGAUGCAGGAAACAGUAUCAUUGAUGAUGACGAUGCUCUUGGUGAUGUCAUUCACGACGUACAGAGAAAUUGCAAAAGUGCAAAGGAGAAGGCUAAAUUUGACCAAAUGCUAGAGGAUCACAAGAAGCUACUCUACCCAUCGGCCGAAGAGGGACAAAAAAAGCUAGGCACGACACUAGAGUUGUUACCAUGGAAGGCAGAGAAUGGUAUUUCUGACAAUGCAUUUGGAAAAUUACUCAAGAUCCAAAAAAAGAUGCUUCCGAAGCCUAAUGAGUUACCCACCACUACAUACGAAGCAAAAAAGAUCGUCUGUCCUUUGGGGUUACAAAUCAAAAAGAUACAUGUAUGCCCUAAUGACUACAUCCUAUACCGUGGCGAGCACGAGAAAUUAGAUGACUACCCUGUUUGCCAUGCGUCACAGUACAAGAUCUUGCGGGAUGACCCUGGCGAUGUUGAGGAUGAAGAACGUCCGAGGAAGAGAAUCCCUGCCAAGGUUAUGUGGUAUGCUCCAAUAGUUCCAUGCCUAAACAUUUGUUCAGAAAUAAGGAGCAUGCAAAGUUGUUGCGAUGGCACAAACAAGACCGUAAGGUGGACAACAUGUUGAGACACCCUGCAGAUGGUUCUCAGUGGAGAGGAAUCGAUAGUGAAUUCCAAGACUUUGCGGAGGACGCAAGAAACCUAAGGUUCGCAUUGAGUACGGAUGGAUUUAAUCCUUUUGGGGACCAGAGCUCUAGUCAUAGCACCUGGCCCGUUACUCUAUGUAUCUACAACCUUCCUCCGUGGUUAUGCAUGAAGCAGAAGUUCAUUAUGAUGCCGGUGCUCAUCCAAGGUCCGAAGCAACAUGGCAACGACAUCGAUGUUUACCUGAGGCCAUUGGUUGAGGAACUCCAGCUUCUAUGGAGCAAACCAGGUGUGCGUAUGUGGGAUGAGUACAAACAGGAAGCAUUCGACCUACGAGCAUUAUUGUUCAUGACAAUCAAUGAUUGGCUAGCUCUAAUCAAUCUUUCAGGAUAGACAAACAAGGGAUAUAAUGCUUGCUCCCAUUGCUUUGGUGACGUUCAAGCUAUCUAUGUGAAAAAAUGUCGAAAGGUUGUGUAUCCUGGCCAUCGUUGAUUUCUUGCUAAGAACCACCAGUUGAGAAAGAAAGGCGAACAUUUUAAAGGUAUGAGAGAACACUGGUCCAAGCCAUGCAACUGAGAUGGGGUAGAGGUAUUCGAGAUGGUCAAAGAUUUGAAUGUACUAUUUGGAAAGGGAGAAGGCAGCAAACCUGUUCCGAAAGACACUUCGGGGCGUGCCCCAAUGUGGAAGAAAUAGUCAAUAUUUUGGGAGCUACCAUAUUGGAAACACCUUGAGGUCCGCCACUCCAUCGACAUGAUGCACCUGACAAAGAAUCUUUGUGUCAAUCUCCUAGGGUUUAUGGGUGUGUUUGGAAAGCCUAAGGAUACCCUUGAGGCUCGAGAGGACUUAAAGCGCAUGAAAGAACGAGACAACCUGCAUGCAAAGCAGACAGAUGAUGGACGCCAGUAUUUUAAGACCUGCUAGCUACACUCUUAGCAAUGAGGAGAAGGAAAUCAUGUUUGAGUGCCUAAGCAGCAUCAAGGUCCCAUCUGGGUUCUCCUCCAACAUAAAGCUUAUAAUAAAUGUGCCAGAGAAAAAAUUUGUCAACUUAAAAUCGCACGACUGCCACGUGAUUAUGACACAACUGCUUCUGGUUGCCUUAAGAGGAAUUCUACCUCCACAUGUACGUCUGGCCACCGUGAAGUAGUGUGCAUUCCUCAAUGCAAUUUCUCAGAAGGCAAUAAAUCCUCUUGAUCUAGCUACUCUACAGAACGAUGUAGUUCAAUGUCUUGUCAGCUUUGAGUUGGUGUUUCCUCCAUCUAUCUUUGAUAUCAUGACACAUCUCCUAGUUCACCUGGUCAAAGAUAUUAAUAUCCUGGGUCCUAUCUUCCUACACAACAUGUUUCCCUUAGAGAGAUUUAUGGGUGUACUGAAAAAAUAUGUUCACCAGCGGGGUCGGCCAGAAGGAAGCAUCAUCAAGGGAUAUGGGAUAGAGGAGGUCAUUGAGUUCUGUGUGGACUUCAUUCCUGAUCUUGACCCGAUUGGUCUUCCUGAAUCAAGGUAUGAGGGGAGACUCGGUGGAAAAGGGUACACUAGGAAAGAAAACAUAUAUCAGCCAGAGUGAUGAUUUAUUCCAUAAAGUGCACUACACAGUCCUUCGAAACUCCAUUGUGGUGGAACCCUAUAUUGAGGAACAUAUGGAUUUUGUAUGAUCCGAGAAUCCUAGAAAGAAUGAGACUUGGGUUAUGCGUUAUCACAUGGAAACAUUCGGUGACUGGUUGUGAAAAAAAUGCCAAGGUGAUAAAGAUAUUGUAGAUGAACUUUAUUUGUUGGCUAGGCAACCAGCGUGGCACGUCAUCACGUACAAAGGAUACGAGAUAAAUGGAAAUACAUUUUACACCGUAACACAAGAUAAAAAGAGUACAAACCAAAACAGUGGUGUCCGUGUGGAUGCCACUGACAUGAAUGGGGACAGGCACACAUAUUAUGUUCGUAUAGAGGAGAUUUGGGAACUAGACUAUGCACAUAAUUUUAAAGUCCCUUUAUUCCGAUGCCAAUGGGUGAAGAUGAAAUGAGGGGUAUUGAUCGAUAAGGAGUACGGAAUGACAACAGUGGACCUCAACAAUAUUGGAUAUACAAACGAUCCAUUCGUCCUUGGUACUAAGGUGAAUCAAGUGUUCUAUGUGAAAGACAUGUCUACAAAACCCAAGAGAGGGAAACAAGAUGAGAAAAACACAAACGAGCCAAAGCGCCACAUCGUUCUUACAGGGAAAAGAAACAUCGUGGGAAUUGAAGACAAGUUAGACGUGUCAGAGGAUUAUGAAAAGGAUGAACGGAUCCCACCCUUCUGUGUGGGCAAAGACCCAAGCAUCAUGCUCGCUGUAGAGGACACUCCAUGGUUACAGAAUAUUCAUAACCAAGGGCAUUACGUUAAGAAAAAUUUUACCAUUGUGCUAGCUUGAUAAUGGUAGUGAUUUGUACUUGACAUCUUGUGUAAUAUAAUUGUAACAUUAUGUGUAAUAUAAUUCUAACAUCUUGAUAAUGUGGAUUUUGAACUACACUUUGCCAGCACUUUGUGAAAUGCAAAAAUGGUCUAUAUAUGAAAUGUAGAUCUUGAUGAGUGGAGCAAUAUUGGUAUUCAUGAGUUUUCCAUUUGAGGCCAUCCGUGGUUCCAAAAAUUAGCGUUUUGCUAUGAAUUCUUUCAAAUUUCCAAAUUGAGUGGUCCAACUUUUUCAAAUGAAAAUGUGACCAUUAGAGAAAAUGUAGACCCUGAUGAGUGGAACAAACUUUGUAUUCAUGAGUUUUCCAUUUGAGGCCAUCUAUGGCUCGGUCAAAGUGUGUGUUUGUGAAACCCACUGUUUUGACUUUGGUCAAACUUGGUCAAAUGACCCAUCUGAGGACUUCAAAUGGAAAACUAUUGGAUACCAAGUUGUUAGAGCUCAUCAACACCUACAUUUCAUACAUGGACCAUAUUUUCAUCCGGAUAAAUUUGAUCGAGUCCCAGUCACAUGUUUUCAAAUUCGAAGACGGGCUUUGGUCAAACUAGGUCAAACGAUGGAGAAAAUGACUUGGAAUGAAAAUCUUUUGAAUACCAAGUUGUUAGAGCUCAUCAAUAUCCAAACUUUUUAUAUAGACCAUUUUUCUAUUUGGAAAAGUUUAUGUAAACAAUACUCACCAAAACUUGAAUCUCACACAAACUAUAUGAAACUAUACGUGGGAAGUGUGGAUUUUGAACUACACUUUGCCAACACUUUGUUAAUGCAAAAAUGGUCUAUAUAUGAAAUGUAGAUCUUGAUGAGUGGAGCAAUAUUGGUAUUCAUGAGUUUUCCAUUUGAGGCCAUCCAUGGUUCCAAAAAUUAGCGUUUCGCUAUGAAUUCUUUCAAAUUUCCAAAUUGAGUGGUCCAACUUUUUCAAAUGAAAAUGUGACCAUUAGAGAAAAUGUAGACCCUAAUGAGUGGAACAAACUUUGUAUUCAUGAGUUUUCCAUUUGAGGCCAUCUAGGGCUCGGUCAAAGUGUGUGUUUGUGAAACCCACUAUUUUGACUUUGGUCAAACUUGGUCAAAUGACCCAUCUGAGUACUUCAAAUGGAAAACUUUUGAAUACCAAGUUGUUAGAGCUCAUCAAGACCUACAUUUCAUACACGGAUCAUAUUUUCAUCUGGAUAAAUUUGAUCGAGUCCCAUGCACAUGUUUUCAAAUUCAAAGACGGGCUUUGGUCAAACUUGGUCAAACGAUGGAGAAAAUGACUGCGAAUGAAAAUAUUUUGAAUACCAAGUUGUUAGAGCUCAUCAAUAUGCAAACUUUUUAUAUAGACCAUUUUUUCAUUUGGAAAAGUUUAUGUAAACAAUACUCACCAAAUCUUGAAUCUCACACAAACUAUAUGAAACUAUACGUGAGAAGUGCGGAUUUUGAACUACACUUUGCCAGCACUUUGUCAAAUGUAAAAAUGGUCUAUAUAUGAAAUGUAGAUCUUGAUGAGGGGAGCAAUAUUGGUAUUCAUGAGUUUUCCAUUUCAGGCCAUCCAUGGUUCCGAAAAUUAGUGCUUCGCUAUGAAUUCUUUCAAAUUUCAAAAUUGGGUGGCCCAAACUUUUUCAAAUGAAAUUGUGACCAUUAGAGAAAAUGUAGACCUUGAUGAGUGGAACAAACUUUGUAUUCAUGAGUUUUCCAUUUGAGGCCAUCCAGGCCUCGGUAAAAGUGUGUGUUUGUGAAAUCCACUAUUUUGACUUUGGUCAAACUUGGUCAAAUGACCCAUCUGAGGACUUCAAAUGGAAAACUAUUGAAUACCAAGUUGUUAGAGCUCAUCAACACCUACAUUUCAUACAUGGACCAUAUUUUCAUCCGGAUAAAUUUGAUCGAGUCCCAGUCACAUGUUUUCAAAUUCGAAGACGGGCUUUGGUCAAACUAGGUCAAACGAUGGAGAAAAUGACUUGGAAUGAAAAUCUUUUGAAUACCAAGUUGUUAGAGCUCAUCAAUAUCCAAACUUUUUAUAUAGACCAUUUUUAUAUUUGGAAAAGUUUAUGUAAACAAUACUCACCAAAACUUGAAUCUCACACAAACUAUAUGAAACUAUACGUGGGAAGUGUGGAUUUUGAACUACACUUUGCCAGCACUUUGUUAAUGCAAAAAUGGUCUAUAUAUGAAAUGUAGAUCUUGAUGAGUGGAGCAAUAUUGGUACUCAUGAGUUUUCCAUUUGAGGCCAUCCAUGGUUCCAAAAAUUAGCGUUUCGCUAUGAAUUCUUUCAAAUUUCCAAAUUGAGUGGUCCAACUUUUUCAAAUGAAAAUGUGACCAUUAGAGAAAAUAUAGACCCUAAUGAGUGGAACAAACUUUGUAUUCAUGAGUUUUCCAUUUGAGGCCAUCUAGGGCUCGGUCAAAGUGUGUGUUUGUGAAACCCACUGUUUUGACUUUGGUCAAACUUGGUCAAAUGACCCAUCUGAGUACUUCAAAUGGAAAACUUUUGAAUACCAAGUUGUUAGAGCUCAUCAAGACCUACAUUUCAUACACGGAUCAUAUUUUCAUCUGGAUAAAUUUGAUCGAGUCCCAUGCACAUGUUUUCAAAUUCAAAGACGGGCUUUGGUCAAACUUGGUCAAACGAUGGAGAAAAUGACUGGGAAUGAAAAUAUUUUGAAUACCAAGUUGUUAGAGCUCAUCAAUAUCCAAACUUUUUAUAUAGACCAUUUUUCCAUUUGGAAAAGUUUAUGUAAACAAUACUCACCAAAUCUUGAAUCUCACACAAACUAUAUGAAACUAUACGUGAGAAGUGUGGAUUUCGAACGACACUUUGCCAGCACUUUGUCAAAUGCAAAAAUGGUCUAUAUAUGAAAUGUAGAUCUUAAUGAGUGGAGCAAUAUUGGUAUUCAUGAGUUUUCCAUUUGAGGCCAUCCAUGGUUCCGAAAAUUAGCGUUACGCUAUGAACUCUUUCAAAUUUCAAAAUUGAGUGGUCUAAUCUUUUUCAAAUGAAAAUGUGACCAUUAGAGAAAAUAUAGGUCUUGAUGAGUGCAACAAACUUUGUAUUCAUGAGUUUUCUAUUUGAGGCCAUCCAGGGUUCCAAAAUCUAUCUUACAGCUUUUGAAAAUUUAAAUUUCAAAUUUAUACAAUAAAUGUCGCGCAUUUGUAUAAAUAUUAUUAAAGAAAUAAAAGUUUAACGUCUAAAUGACCCAAAAACCAAGUAUGAAAUAAAAGCCAAUAAUUUUUUAAAAUUUAAUUGCCAUUAUAUUUUUGCAUUAACACAAUAUUCAUUAUAAAUAACAUUAUUUUUGAAUAAUAUGAAAUAUUUGAAAAUCAAUUCUGUUUAGAAUUUUUAUACUGAAGAGUAGAGCAGAAUAAAAUUAAUAUGUAUUUUUUCAACAAUUUUAUUAGAUUUAUUUAAUUUAUAAUGCAUUUAACAAUGUAAAAGGGAAAAAAGGAAAAACUAAAUUAUGGCGCCUAAACUGGCGCCAUAAUUUGGUGAAAACUCUUUGUCUCGGGCCGAGCUAGCGCCCGGGACUAAAGGGUCUUUAAUCUCGGUUCCAGCGAGGAACCGGGACUAAGCUCGGCCCGGGACUAAAGGUGCCCUGCCAUAUAAAGGGCAGAGCCCUUCUUCCUCCUGCCCACCGCGCCCGCGUCGAUCUUACCGUAACCGCCGCCGACCCGUCGUCUUCUCUGCCGCCGCUCCGUCGAUCUCGUCCUUGCCGCCGUCGUCCUUGCUCCGAGCGCCGCACCGAGGACGCCUCGCCGUACGCCGCGCGCCCACCGCCUCUACUCCCUCUCUCUUUCUCUCUUUCUCGUUCUCGCGCGCGCCGCCGCCACCUCGAUCGGGAACCCGCGAGCUCACCAACCGCCGCCACGCGCGGCUGCGCCCUUCGCGCCCGACAACGGCAGCCGGCGGGGGGCAGUGGCGCGGGCCCCAUGCCGUACGCCGUCGGCCGCGCGGCCACAUGCACCCACACCGGCGGCGUCGCCCGAGCCCCCCGCGCCGCUAAGACAGAGAUCGAGAAAGAAAAAAAAUGAAAAAAAUGAAAAAAAAUAUGAAAUAACAAAGAAAUAACUUUAACUAAAUAUAUAGUAAAAAAUAUUGAUAUUUAUAAUACAUAGUUAGGCCUUGUUUAGUUCUAAAAAAUUUUAGGAAAUCGACACUGUAGCAUUUUUGUUUGUAUUUGACAAAUAUUGUCCAAUCAUUGACUAACUAGGCUCAUGCAUACGUAUCGUUCUAAAAAAGUUUCGUAUCGUUAAUUCCGACCAAACUGUGCAAUUAGUUUUUAUUUUCGUCUAUAUUUCAUACUCCAUGCAUGCAUACGUUUAAAGAUUUGAUGUGACGGAGAAUCUGAAAAAUUUUGCAAAAUUUUAUGGGAACUAUGCCUUAGUAUCAUUGAAAAGAUCUUUCGGUCUAGUUUUUUAACAAAUUUAUUUAGAGACUUGGUUUUUGUUUUCUUCUAUAUUUAGUGCUUCAUGCAUGUGCCAGAAUAUGUAAAUGUGAUAUAAUAUUCGUUCCCUCUUUCUUCCUUCUUCCAGAUCGACGUCUCUCUGUCGUCGUCACCGAAGUCCCCGUCGAGUCUCCGCGCCGACUGCCAUCUCUCCGCCGUCUCACCAUUUCAAACUACACGUAUGUCUAGAGAUGGAUCUAUUAGUGGUACAAUUAGUGCUAUAAUUAGUGGUACAAUUAGUGGUAUAAAUUAGUGGUAUAGUUAUGAUAUAUUUAAUUGUUAGCAAAUGAUAUACACUAAACCCUAAACCUAAGCCCUAAGCCCUAAACCCUAAACCCUAAACCCUAAGGAGUAUGUGCCACCCUCAGAAGGUACGAGGACUUGGUACGCAAAUAUACAAGUUGCACGAGUACUACUUGAGAGUCAGCUCAAAACAUAAGGAAGAAGAAUUGAUUGCCGUCCGAGUCUGCGACCGACACUACUUCGGUGGAGAUGACGUCAUACGGAUAGAUUUUAGUGAAGUACACCAGCUUCUCCAUAUGAAUGCUCUCAACAAAUCUCUCAUGAGCUGCUACUGUCUGUAAGUGAUUCUUCCUUUUAAUUAUUAAUCCCAUUAUAGCAUAUGUAUGUAUUCAUAAUAACUACGAUCACGAUGUGUAGACACAUGAUGAGAGAACAAAGAUUGAAAAAAGACAAUCGAAUUGGUUUCAUCGAUCCAUAUGUCGUGUACAAGGACACCAAGACUAAAGAUCCAUUGAAUCUGAAGCCUAAGGAAAUAGGGAAGAACCUCCGGAGGUUCUUUUAUAAUCAAAGCCAUACAGAGAAGAUACUCUUCCUUUACAAUAUGGGGUAAGUGUUGUGUUAUAUCAUGUCUUAGUUAGUCCGGCAUUAAGAUAUAUUUAUAUAUAAGUUGACACUAAACAAAUGCAGAGAUUAUUGGAUACUCAUUGAGAUUAAGAUCAUGGAACAAAAAAUAAAUGUGUGGGACUCAAUGAAAAAGACCUGGCACUCUAUCAAGGCAUAAUAGACAUUGUUGACGGUCCUUAAUGCUCACAUUUAACUGUCAACUAAUCAUGGAAAAGGACCUAUAUGCAACCAACACCUAAAAUUAGGGUUUCAUCUCACAGAAUUCCACGAGUUUUGGUGUUUGUCUAUUUCUGCAGGGGGUUAUCAGGAAAUAUGGAGGAAAGGCCCACAUGUCGGUUGUAACACCCUAGGUGUUAAACAUGCACUUAGUCUCAUCAACUUAUACAUAAGCAUUCUCAUCAAGCAUAGCAUCACAUGAGCAUGUCAUUCAUUCAAAGUGUGAUUUUAUGUGCUUUAUUUUAUGUGAAUUAAAUGUGGUAAAAAUAUUAUGCUUGCUUCUAAAUUCUUGAAUUGCCCAAAUUAGGUUAAAAUAUGUGUUAAAAGAUUUAAGAGUAAUUUUGUGAUAUUUUUGGAGCUAUAGAAAUUAAGAAAUUGAUUUUAUACAAAAAUUCCCAAAAUAGAUUUAUUUGAAAACCUAUAAAUAGUUUUGAGUUGUAUUUCAAAAUCUAUUUGGAAUUUGUGAAUUCAACCUAAAGAAAAGUUGUAGGGUUUUUGAUUUAGAACAACUUUUGUUUUGGAAGAAAAAGGUGAAAAUGAUUUUAAAAUAGUCCAAAUGAAUUUAGAAAGAGUUUGAGAAAAGAAAUUCUAAAAAAAUGGAAAAGGGAAAGGGGGGCGCUAGCAGGCUGCGGCCUCACUUCUGGCCCGCUAGCCGAAGCCGGCCCAGCCCGCCCGCGCCGUGCCGCCGUGGCACGCCGGUAGAGCUCGGCCGCCGCGUGGCGAGCAUGCGGCAGCCUGGAUGCGCCCCGGUCGGCCACCAGGAGCGCCCGACCGCCUCCGUCUCUGCCUCCGCUACCAUUUGCGAUCCUCUACUCGCGCUCUUGCCUUUCGCUCGCCCGCGCGCCGCAGCUGCCGCUCCGCCGCGCGCCAUCGUCGCCGACGACUUGGAGCUUCUCUCUCAGCCAGCUCCGGCCUCAUCCUUCCUCUCCGCGACCGCCAACAGCUCCGCCUCGUCAUUCCGCGUCGCGUGCUCGCGCUCAACCGCACUCGGUGAGUCCCCGCGCGCCCGGGAGAGCUCACCAGAGUGAGUCGGGACUCCGGUGACCUUUCGUUCCGCGUUGUUCUCCCCCUCUACUCCGCCAUUUCUUGCGCUUUUAGGUGUGUUAGCUUCGCCUCGGCCUCGCGAACCGAUUCCGGCCGUUCGAGCACGCUCUACCGCCGCGUGGUGGCCGGACCGCGGCGAGCAGUGCCGCCGUUCCACCAUGGCCGGUGGCGAGCUUGCUCCCAUCCGUUGCCGCGGAAGUAGGUUCGCUGAGUUCGCCUUGAGCCGUAGAACGCGUAGAGCCACUUGGUUCGCCGAGAGAGGCCGCCGACGGUGAGCUCCGCCUCGCCGGAGUCGCCCUCUCUCUGUGUUCUGGCCAGCGGGCCCGGCUAUCAGGCGGGUCCGUCUCGUCAGUGGCCGCGGGUGCACUGCACCGGGUGCACCUAGCUGGUCCCGGGGGUGGAUUUGAAUUGAUUUUCAGAAAAUGCUUUCCGGAAAAUAGUUUAAAUGAUAUAAAAUCCAUAUCUUGAGAUAUAUAGCUCCAAAAAUGAUGAAAUAAAUUGUGGAGUGUUCUAUAAUUCUAGAUCUACAGUUUAGUAUAGUUGCAUGUCUUGUUUAAACAACUUUUCUGUGCAAAUAUAUUUAAUCCAUGUUUUUGCUGAGAAUUGGAAAAUGCAUAGUAAUUAAAAUAUAGUUCAGAAAAAUAUGAAACUUGUUUUGUUGGCUCUGCAUGGAUGAUUAGGCUCUGGGAAAAUUAUGUUACACAUUAUUUGCUGUAUGAAUUAAUUUAUUGUGAUUUAAAUGCUUGCAUGGCAAUGGUUUAUGAUUUUUAAUAAAUAAUUGGAUCAUGCAAUUAAACUACAAAUUUUUGUGGGUAUUUCUUAUGUUAUUAAGUAAAUUAUAAAAAUAUGAAAUCUGCUAUUUGACACUUAUACCACAGUAGGGUAUUUAUACAUGAUUAUAUGGAUUAAUCUUGUGAUUUUUGUAGCCCAAAAUAAAUGUCCAAAUAUUAUGAAAAACUUAUGGUAGACUUUAUGGUUGACUAGUAGUCUACUCUAAUUUUUGUGGAAUUUUUUGUUAAACAGAGAUAUAUGUUACUUUGUAGGUCCAAGAGUGAUUAAAUAAAAUAAGAGUGGUUAUGCAUGAAUUAAAUAGAAUAAAAGAUUGUUUGGUGUAUCUUUGAAGCAUCUUGUGAGCUUGCUGGUUAACCAUGAAGACAACUUGUAGAAGAGAAUGCAAUAUAUGCUUAGUUCGAUUGUUUAUUCUUGGGUGAUGUUGACUACCUCGUAAAAGUGACCACUUAUAUCAUCUAUACACCAUGUCAUAGUCAUCUGUUACCCACUUGCAUAAGCAUUGUAUCUCGGGCAUCUCGCACUCCACUCAUGAGCACACAUGCAUCAUACAGGCUCGCAGGAGAACGAGGUGGGACCCGAGGAGCAAGAGGAGACCCUGGAGCAGGAACCUCUGGGAGGACUAGAGACCGGAGAGGAGCUGUAGGAGUGCCCGGACCACAGACCGAGCACGUUUGAGAAAGGCAAGCCCCCGAGCAUUCUAAGUCUCCCUAUUCUCGCUAACUUAAAUGAGAUAUUAUGUUUGUUCUACUAUGUUGCAUUUAAGUGAUAGGAAUUGCUUGAUACCGUUGAUGCAUAAGUACUCCUUGAUAUCACCACUUGUUUAUCUACCUUGUCCUAUGUAGAUAGGCACAGAGUCCAUGCUUAGUUUGCUUAGUCCGGUAGAAGUUGGGUGAUUUCCUGUCACCUGCGAGAUAUAGGUGGACACCUGUUUGAUUAGCUGUGAUUGCUAUGAGGAUGAAUAACCAAGUGUGGAAAGGAAUUUGAGACCGGGCAGGGUCUUGUGGUGGGUUGAUCAUAGUGCCCCUGCCUGUGUCGAUUAAGGACCGAUCGUUGACGGCCCUCUUGUCAUGUUGAACGCAUGCCCCACACUUAGCUGGAAGGAUAAGUCGUUCCGACCGCGAAGCCUGAGCACUAUCUGGGCCGGGAAUCGGCCCGAUGUACGCGCUGUAUUGGUGAUGGUUGAGGAGAACGACGAGGGCGCAGCGCACAACCUUUGUAUACGUUGGAUACCUCGGCUGCCGGAACGGUCCUCGGGUACGGGCGGUGCCUGUCGAACCCGCGAAUUGGUCGUGGAUAAUGCAACACGGUGAUCUGUAGCUCACUUGAUCAGUGUGUGUGGUUUGUGUGGGGAAUAAACUCACCAGCUGGUCAGAAAUCGAUUCGAAUCGCCAUCACUCCUGGAUAGUGAGCACUUGACAUGAGCCCUGUCCUCGUAGUAAGGACUAUGGAACAUUUGGGUUAUGAUGAUAAAUGAUUUAUGAAUGCUAUGAUGAGGUACCAUCAUAUUACUACACUUGCUUGUAAUAGUACAGGUGCAAACCUAGAUAAUAGGUACGAUAUUAUCAAACUUGAGCUAAUGAAAAGAAGAAAGGUCUCUAGGCUAUGUUUUAGCGGAAUAAUGCUUUUAUGAAAAGAGUCUCAGCUUCCCCACCAUACAGCCUUCAUGAUCCUUGAAGAGUCUUGAUUUUUGGUUUAUGACGGGUAAGUCUAGCUGGGUACAUUCUCGUACUUAGGGUUCUAUUCCCGUGUUGUUUUGCAGAUGGUCAAAUGUAUUAUGGUUAUUGCAUCCUCUGCUUGUACCCAGCAAUGGGUGACGACUAGACCAAGGGCGAUGGUCACUCUCGCUUCUCUUUUGCUUUUGUGGGAAUAACCGAACUAUGGCACUGUAUCAAACUAAAUGUGUGUGUUUUAUUUUCAAACUAUGAAGCUUCCGCUACGUGAGAACUUGGUUUGUAAUAAUUUUAAGUACUCUGAUGUAUUUGAUGAAUGUUGUGAACUGGAUGUAAUUGUGAAUGGUGACCGCUGAACUUAUUACGAUCUUGGCUGUAUGUAUGAUUUGUGGUUUGAAAUCCUUCGAGAUUUCAUGGACUACCGGGAUUAUAUGGGCUUAAGCUCGGUGGUUUGACUGUGCAAAUGGUCACUAUCAAGCUUAAUCUCUUAUAAUUUGGGCGGUUCUGUUACAUCGGGUUUACACAGAGAUAUUAACGUGUGCGCCAAUUUUCUAUCAUCUAGAAGACUUCAGAAGCCAUGGGAACGAACGGGAGGCCGAGCGGGCCCGAGGGCUGGGUGCGCGCCCUCCCCCCUUCGGCAACUGCCCUGCCCUGGUGACCAAUCAGGGCAGGUCUCGCGGAUCGUGCUCCAUCGCCUUUGAGGAUCAAGGAAAACCGUGCGAUUAAGGUCGGUUUGAUCCGACGGCCCUCGUUCAUUUGGAAGGGCUAUAUAAGCAGGCCCCCUUGCCCCUGGAGAACAUAUCACUUCUACAGAAUCAAAGCUAGGGUUUCAAUUAUUCAUCCAAGUAGAGAGGAUCCCUCUAGUUCAUCUAGUUCUAGUUCAUAUAGUUCUAGUUAUAGUUAGUUCUAGGUUUAAUCUAGAAAAUAGGGAGAGGGAAGAGGAGAGCGGAGGAGGAGCCGGAUCUGUCGGAUCGUCCUCAACAUUGUACUUUUGCAGCAACUGGUUCGUUCUUCAUCGUUCUCCAAGUUCUUCAAUUCAUAAUUCCUGAGUUCUUCAAUUACUUUUAUUUACAUUCAAGUUAUUUUUUGGAUUCCCGCUUGCAUCAAGUGCUCUGUUCUUUAUAAUGCUAGAGUAGUAAUUAAUAGAUUAGACGUGGUGUUUAGUCUUGCAAUUACCUGGAAUUGCACCCAAUCCUGCGGAUUGUUGUGGUAGCCCUAGGGUAGUGACAGCCCUAACGGUCGACGUAUUCCACCUCGUUCGAAUCAGUGUUUGUAGGACCAUAGUCAGAGCUUCCUAGCCCCCUUCUCAUCUCUUUCUGUGGUCAGUGUUCUGAUGUCCCAAAAUAAAUAAUCUUUGAAGUAAUUCUUGAUUCUUAGAUCAACUAGAGAACUCUUAGGAAACUUCCUCUCUUCCCACCAAAAAUAAUUAUAUAGUUAUCCUUCGGAGAUCUUGAAUCUUAAUUAGUACACUCACGUUCCCUAUGGAAAAUCGAUACCCUAGAAUACUCCUGGGUGAAAGCUACAUCGAUAUCCGUGCGCUUGCGGAUUUUUCUGUUUGCGUUUAAAAUACCCAACAAGCUUUCUGGCGCCGUUGUCGGGGAACGAUAGUUGUGCUAGUUUCGAACCAAGUCAUCCGUGUAUCCUUUUUCUUUUCCUUUUUUUACCACACUCACCUUACAAUUUUCACCACACCACAUGGAUUUCACUCCUAUCUAUAAAUUAUUUGCUCCAAAGGGCGAGUUAUUAGAGCCACCACCAUCAUCACAUCCAAUUCUUACAGAUGGUUACGACCUCGGCCUUGAUCUAGUAGCGAUGAUUCAGGAGCAACCCGAAGUAGAUGAAUAUCCAUACACCCACGUUAGAGAAUUCGAGCAGUUGUGCUCUUGCCAAUCUAUUUCCGGCAUGACACAAGAAACCCUUAAAUGGAAAUUAUUUCCGUUCUCCCUUUUGGGUAGAGCAAAAAAGUGGUAUGCUCAUUUUGUAGGAGGCGUUAAUGGAAAUUUGGAUGAACUUCAGGACAACUUUUGUCUCACUUUCUUCCCACUUUUUCGAAACGCUGACCUUAGAAUCAAAAUUCUUACAUUCAAACAAAGAGAGAAGGAAACUUUAGGAGCAGCUUGGGCUAGGUUCACAAACCUUACCAAUUCUUGUCCAAACCUUUACCUGCCUGACCAUGUGCUAUACUACCAUUUUUAUCGUGGUCUAAACAAGGAAGCUGCUCUUCACCUCGACAUUGCUUCAGGAGGCUCAUUCUCACACAAACUCAUAGAUGAGGGGAGAGCUAUCCUAGAGAGAAUCCUUGAAAAUACACCUUACACAGGCAUUUAUGAUGAGUUUCCUGAAGAAGAAAAAGAAGUCGAGCCUAAUCCUAAACCAAAAGAAGAGGAACUUGCAACUGAGUUAGAAAUUCCACCUGACCCAUCUAUUAAUUUGGCUGUAGAGAAACCUCCUGAUAAGGGAAUGCAAAACCAACUAACGGAUAAUGAACCACCACCCUUAGAGCAUCCCUUUGAAUUCGAGGAAGAUCUUUUUGAAGAUUAUGGAAACACCUCAAAUUUUCCUAUCCAAACACGACCUCUAGCAGGGACCACUCAAUCCGUUCUAAGAGUAGAAUCUGUUGACAUAGAACACAUCAAAAGCCUUUCGGCUAUUCUGAGUUAUGAAUGGCUAACAGAAGUAGAGCUGUCACCUAAGGUAGCUCGGAUCAUCACUCCGUCAACAAUUCUUCUGUGCCAAAUUAGAGGGUCCGCUAGCAAGGUCCACUACAAUCCAUAUGUUGGGAUAAAUGUAAUUUCCAAGGAGUUAGCUGACACUCUUUAUCCCAACGAGUCCAUAACCCCAUCUCAAAAACUUUUACAAAGUCCAUCUAGAUUAAUUCUAGAAAGCUAUGGGGUAUUAAGGGCAGUUCCUAUUAGAAUCAAGGACUCUGGAAUAUGUCUAGAUUUUCACAUUUUUGACAUACGAGAGAUUCCUCUCUUGAUUGGCGGACCAAUCAUGAAACUUCUACAAGAACAACCACAACGAGGUCAUUUAGACUUCAAGGAUGGGAAUUCCACUAUUGUUGUUCCUCUUGCCAGAUCAAUUAACACGAUAGUGGAACCCAAACUUGAAUCAGAUCCUAUGGAGGAGAUCUUAAUGCUGACUCAAGAGGAGAUGGCCCAACCAUUCUUGAAUCAUGAACACUUUGUUCAAGAAGAAGAAGAGUUGGUAGAACCCAUUGAGCUAGACAAAAAUGAACAACCUUCACCUCCUUCGAUAGAGUUCUUCCUUCUGGCCUUAGAUAUGUCUUUUUGCACAACAACCCAAAAACUCCAGUAAUUAUCAGUGACAAGCUUUCCGAUUAUGAAACACAACAACUUGUCACUGUUCUUGAAAGGCAUAGAUCAGCAUUUGGCUACUCUCUCGAAGAUCUCACGAGCAUUAGUCCCAUUCUCUGCACUCAUCGUACCCCUAUUGAUCCUAAUUUUACACCUUCAAGGGAACCACAACGGAGACUUAACAAUGCUAUGCGAGAGGUUGUUAAGAAAGAGGUCCUCAAACUCUAUCGUGCUGGGAUUAUUUAUCAUGUGCCACAUAGUGAGUGGGUUAGCCCUGUCCAAGUAGUGCCAAAGAAAGGAGGAAUGACGGUGGUUUCGGAAUGAGAAGAAUGAACUCAUCCCUCAACGAAUUGUCACUGGGUGGCGUAUGUGUAUUGACUAUCGAAAGCUCAACAAGGCUACAAAGAAAUAUCACUUUCUGUUACCCUUCAUUGAUGAAAUGUUGGAACGGCUUGCAAACCACUCUUUUUUUGUUUCCUUGAAGGUUAUUCUGGAUAUCACCAAAUCCCAAUCCACCUAGAUGACCAAGAAAGGACUACCUUUACAUGCCCGUAUGGAACUUAUGCAUAACGACGAAUGUCGUUCGGAUUGUGUAAUGCUCCAGCUUCUUUCCAACGGUGCAUGAUGUCUAUUUUCAAGGACAUGAUUGAGAAGAUCAUGGAGGUUUUCAUGGAUAAUUUUUCCGUCUAUGGCAAAACCUUCGAUCAUUGUUUGGAGAAUUUAGAUAGAGUCUUGCAGCGAUGUGAAGAAAAGCACUUAAUCCUGAACUGGUAGAAAUGCCAUUUUAUGGUUUAGGAAGGAAUAGUGCUAGGACAUAAAGUGUCUGAACGUGGUGUAGAGGUGGACAAAGCAAAGAUUGAAGUUAUUGAAAAACUUCCACCUCCUACGAAUAUGAAAGGAAUACGUAGCUUUUUGGGACAUGCAGGGUUCUAUAGACGCUUUAUCAAGAACUUCUCUCAAAUUGCUAGACCCCUAACUAGUCUCCUAGCUAAGGAUGCACCUUUCAUCUUUAGUGAUGAGUGUCAUGAAUCUUUUCAAACUCUUAAGAAAGCACUCAUCUCAGCCCCAGUUAUCCAACCACCUGAUUGGAAUCUUCCUUUCGAGAUCAUGUGUGAUGCUAGUGAUUUUGAGGUUGGUGCCGUUUUAGGACAAACCAAGGAUAAAAAGCAUUAUGCCAUAUCCUACGCUAGCAAAACCUUGUCUGGACAACAGCUCAAUUACACUACAACUGAAAAAGAGCUUUUGGCUGUUGUCUUUGCUAUAGACAAGUUUAGAUCUUACUUAGUGGGGGCAAAGAUAAUCAUCUAUUCAGACCAUGCUGCUCUCAAGUACCUCCUCACUAAGAAAGAUGCUAAGCCUCGUCUAAUUCGAUGGAUUCUUCUACUCCAAGACUUUAACAUAGAAAUCCGAGAUAGGAAGGGAGUAGAGAAUUCCAUAGUCGAUCACUUGUCUAGGCUUCAAUAUAAGGAAACACAUGAUGAGCUUCCCAUAAAUGACUACCUAAGGGAUGACACCCUGCUUAAGAUAACACAUGCAGAUCCAUGGUACGCAGACAUCGUAAACUUUAUAGUAAAAGGCUAUGUCCCACCGGGUACAAACAAAAGGAAGUUACUUCAUGAUAGUCGUUUCUACCUUUGGGAUGAGCCAUAUCUUUUCCGAGUCUGCGCUGAUGGACUCUUGAGGAGGUGUGUUCCUAUGGCUGAGGCUACUCAAAUUAUGGAAAGAUGCCAUGCCUCGCCAUAUGGAGGACACAAUGGAGCAUUCCGGACACAUGCUAAAAUUUGGCAAAGUGGUUUUUUCUGGCCAACGAUGUAUGAAGAUAUUGGACUUUGUCAGGAGAUGCCACAGAUGUCAAAAACAUGGGAAUAUCAACUCGCAAAAUGAAAUGCCUCUCACAAAUAAUCUUCAAGUAGAACUUUUCGAUGUAUGGGGCAUUGAUUUCAUGGGCCAUUCCCUAUGUCUGGGAAUUACGAGUAUAUCUUAGUAGCUGUGGACUACGUGUCCAAAUGGGUAGAAGCCCUACCUUGUUGAUCAGCUGAUUCAAAACAUUCCAAGAGAAUGUUCCAUGAAGUAAUCUUUCCUCGCUUUGGUAUACCUCGGAUAGUUAUAAGCGAUGGAGGUUCCAACUUCAUCGACAAAAUCUUCCAGAAGUACCUAGCCGAUCUUGGAGUUCGACACAAUGUCGCAACACCAUACCAUCCUCAGACUAGCGAUCAAGCCGAAACAUCUAACAAACAAAUCAAAAAUAUUUUACAAAAGACCGUAGAUGAGAUGGGUAAGGGGUGGAAAGACAAACUUCCUGAUGCACUUUGGGCAUAUAGAACUGCAUUCAAAACACCCAUAGGCAUGUCACCUUAUCAACUUGUAUAUGGAAAAACUUGUCAUUUGCCUGUGGAAGUAGAGUUUAAGGCUCACUGGGCACUCAAGAAAUGGAACAUGGAUCUCCACCUCGCUAGCGAGAAUCGUCUGAUGCAACUAUCUGAGAUAGAAGAAUGGAGAGGGAAAGCCUACCACAAUUCAAGGAUCUAUAAAGAGAGAACAAAACGAUGGCAUGAUAAGAGAAUCAAGCACAAGGUGUUUAAGCCUGGAGAUAAGGUUCUACUAUUCAAUUCAAGAGUUAAGCUCUUUGGGCAUGGUAAGCUACGAAGUAAGUGGGAUGGACCAUACAAGGUUAUUUACACUUCAACUCAUGGAGCCAUUACCAUCCAAGACGACAUAGGUAACACUUUUAUGGUAAAUGGUCAACGCUUGAAAAUCUAUCUCGAGCCACAAAACAACGUGGUAGAGGAACUUGAUGUGAUUGAGUUCAUAGAAUUCUCACAUUAAGCUCUCAUAAGCUCUAGACAAUUACCUAACCCUUAACAUGCUCCACGAGUUUUGUUGUCUAUUUGGGUUGUGCAGGAUAUUGAGGCUUAAGAAGAGUGAGACCGAACAUGCAGGCCACAAAGAGUGAAUGACUAUGUCAUCAUCGAGCUUGGGGGAGGCACCCCCACAUGUAUCUAGAUAAGUAUUACUUUUCUUUCUUGGUUUUAUUUACUAGUAUUCGGAAAUAAAUAAAAAAAAUGCAUAACCAUGAAACCAAACAAAGUUUUUCUUUUGAGUAAUACACAAUAGUUUUGUGUAAUCCUAAGUUUUAAAUAAAAUAAAAAGAAAGUCUGAUCCAAGUCUAGGUAAUUGAUAAACAUGAUAUGAGAAAGUCUGAGCUACUAUUUAACUUGUUCCAAGUUUCGCUAGAGUUCUAGAGAUUUUAUCUUUUGAAAAUCUUUAAAAAAUGAGAUCCUGUUUGACAUAAUACCUUGAGUCUUAUAAGAUAUUGUCGAGGGUGUCAAUAAGGGGUACCCAAACUAAUACGCAUAACAACAAUACCCGUACACCGAGGCCCCUGACUCGACGUCCCAGAUUCAUACGCUCGAUUGCCAAAACGCGAUGACGACCAUAUCCUCGAAUAUGGAGAAGGGGUCAUGCGAAUCGGCUGAGGCUUGACUAAGCAUCGACCAUCGAAUACAGAACUGGCUCAUACGAAUCGACAGGCCUCGAGUGCAAGGACGCCGCCCGCCGCUUGACAUGGGUACAAGAACCAGGGCAUUUAAUGCGCCUGUUGCGUACUUGUUGACGGUUCUUAAGUAUCAAUUUUAAUUAUCAAAUAAACAAGAGAAAGGACCAAUAUGCAACUAACACCUAGAAUUAGGGUUUGAUCUAACAGAAUUCCACGAGUUUUGUUGUUUAUCUAUUUCUUCAGGGGGUUAUCAGAAAAUAAGGAAGAAAGGCCCACAUGUCGGGAUUACAUAGAGAUAUCAACACACCGCACGAUUUUCCACCAUCUAGAAGACUCCAGAAGCCACGGGAAGAAGACGGAGGCCGAAAGGGGCCAGGCCCAGGGCGCCCGCCCUGGUGACCUGGGCGCCCGCCCCCUGCUGGAUUGCUUUCAGCACUCUCUUCGCUCGGGAUAUUCCACUGACCUAUUGGAUCGAGAAAAACAUAGUACCACCUCGCCUAUCGACCCAAAAACGCAGAGAAGGGGAGGACUAUAUAAGGAGACCCCCCUGGCCCCUGGAGAAGACAUGAAGAAAUUAUCAUAGAGACUGAGGGGUGCCGAAGGAAAACCUCUUCUCUAAUUAAUAUUUCUUUUUAGGCUUAGCAAUCAAUGUAAGGUAGAAAUAGAUCUUCUAGUUUCUACUAGAUUGAGAGAGAUAGAGUGGAGGUGUUGAUUGGAGGAAGCCCGGCCUGUCGGUGUCUAUUCCAAGCUUGUACCUGCGGGAUCAAGUUCUCCUAACCCGAAGCUUGCUCCUAGGAUUCUUCAGUAAUUCGACUUCUAAAUUCUAGUAAGUUCUUGUUUUAUUGUUCUUAUGGUUUAUGAGUUUACUUUAAUCUCUUCGCGUAGAGUUUAGAGUAAUCAUUGCUGGCGUAAACGUGGUGUUUAGGCUGGGGUACUCAUAGAUAUUCCCUGACUAGCUGGACCGUGGUAGUAGUGAGGAACGUGACAAUUCCGAGCUACCUUUGUAGAUCACAUCUCGUUAGCAGGAAGGAUAGGGUUUAUAGGUGCGGGUUGAACAUCCUUUGUGGUGUCUAGAUUCCGUUAGCCUCCCCAUUAGAACAGUAGAUCAUCCUUACCAAGGUUAGAAGGAGACUACGGUUGCAGUCUUCUCUAUUUAUCACUCACAUCGAAAGACAUUCUUUGUGCCUAAAGGUUAGUAGUAAUAGACCGGUUAGUCAGAUGCACUCUUUCUCCUAGUGGUAAAAAAAUAAAUACGAUACUCUGGAUAAUUUCCCGGGUGAAGUGCUCACCGAUAUCCUGAGAAAGACGGUUGGUGAGAUAACCUGAGUCUUGCUACUAGCUUGUAUCUAUGAAUCUUUUAUCUUUUAUAUUCUUUAUUUUCUUUACUCUUACCUUAUGGAAAACCAAAAUUCUAAAUCAAUCCAUGAAUCUGCAAUCCCUUUAGCAACUGACCUUUUACCAUGGGAGUCAUCACAGCCUGUCCAAACAUCCCAGUAUAAGUUAAGUUCUAGGUUGAUUGCCAUGAUUCAAAACCUAUCUUUUUCGGGAAAGGAAGACGAAAACCCUUACCUUCAUAUUAGAGAUUUUGAGCAAACAUGUGAUUGUCUUCGCAUUGAAGGCAUUUCUUAUAAAACUUUACGUUGGAAGCUUUUUCCUUUUUCCUUAAGGGGAGAAGCUAGACAAUGGUACAGUCAGAAGGUAAGUCAACAACAAGGUGAAUGGGGAGUUUUACGAGCCAACUUUUGUCUAGAUUUAUAUUCCCUUGACCGUAUAGCCGACCUUAGACUCGAAGUCCUAUCUUUUAAACAAAAAGAUAAUGAAACUUUGGGGAAAUCCUGAAAACGUUUUUCUGAUCUUUUAGAAUCUGGUCCAAACCUUAAUCUUGAAGACCCUGUUCUUUUAUUUCACUUUUUUCAAGGUCUUCAGAAAAAUCACAAACAAAUGCUACACACAAUGUCUAGAGGUUCUUUCUUUCGCAUCCCUGCUGAUGAAGCUAGAGUGAUCCUAGAUAGAAUCCUAGAAGCUGAGAUGGAUAAUACCCUUCAUGAUGAAACCUACGAAGCUGAAGUAGACACUCUGCCAAAUUCUUCAUCUACUUUAGCUAUCCCAAGUUCUGAGCCACAAGAGGAAGAAAUUCCACCACCGGACUUCAUGCUGGAUAUAGAAUCCGAUCUUUUUGCCGAUUUUGGAAAUAUUUCAAACUACCAUUCUAUUGACAAACCCCAAAACGGCCAAUUUAGCAUUUAUUUGCCAAGUGAAUAUCAAUUGAGAGAGCUUAUCUCAGUAAUGAGUAGCGAAUGGUUGGAGGAAUCAGAGCUUUCCUCUAAUGUGAUCCGUUUGGACACAGCCUCUAUAACUAUACGCUGUGCUUAUAAUUCUGAUCGAUUUAAUGCUCUCUAUAAUCCUAUUGUGGGGAUCAACAUCAUGUCUGAAUAUUUUGCACUUAAACUAUUUAAAAAUCUUGUCUUAACCCCCACAACAAAGGUCAUAAAGGAAUCUUCGGGACGAUUAGUCCCCAGUCUUGGAAUUAUUAAUGUCCUACCUCUUACGGCAGAAGGAUCCAUGGUUCAUUUGAACUUCUAUAUCUUUGAUACAUGGGACUUCGACCUGUUAAUAGGACAACCUUUUAGAAGACUCCUUUAUGAAGGUCAUACUAGAAAGCUACACAUUUCUUUUGGAAAAACUUUUAAAUUCCCAAUAACAAUUUCACACUCCUUAAACAAUAAGGCCGAGUCAUAUCUUUUGCCUGAUCCUAUGGAGGAAGUAAAGGCUGCAUCUCUAGAGCUUUUAGAUGAACCAGACUUAGAAGACGAAACUCCUUUCUUCACAGAAGAAGAAGACGAACCUUCUGAGCCUGAACACUUAGAUGAGUUUGCAGAAACACCUAGACCCCCCAUAGAGCUUAAAACUUUACCACCCGGUCUUACUUAUGCUUUCCUAAACAAUAAUCCAGAGUUCCCUGUGAUCAUUAGUGAUAAACUCACUCAGGAUCAAACUCUGCGAUUAAUGACCAUUCUUGAGAAACAUCACUCAGUUUUCGGCUACUCACUCCAAGAUCUUACAGGAAUCAGUCCUAUGAUUUGUACCCAUCGUAUUCCAACAGAUCCUUCUGUUUCACCCUCUCGAGAACCCCAACGUAGACUUAAUAAUACUAUGAGAGAGGUAGUUAAAAAGGAAGUUAUAAAGUCGCUGCAUGCAGGGAUUAUAUAUCCUGUGCCGCACAGUGAGUGGGUAAGCCCAGUACAAGUUGUGCCCAAAAAGGGAGGCAUGACUGUUAUUAUGAAUGAAAAGAACGAGCUAAUUCCGCAACGCACCGUCACAGGAUGGCGGAUGUGCAUAGACUAUAGAAAACUAAACAAAGCCACAAGAAAAGAUCACUUUCCUUUACCUUUCAUAGAUGAGAUGCUAGAGCGGUUAGCAAACCAUUCAUUCUUUUGUUUCUUAGAUGGAUAUUCAGGGUAUCAUCAAAUCCCGAUCCAUCCCGAUGAUCAAAGCAAAACCACUUUUACAUGCCCGUAUGGAACUUAUGCUUAUCGUAGAAUGUCUUUUGGGUUAUGUAAUGCACCAGCUUCUUUUCAAAUAUGCAUGAUGUCUAUAUUUUCUGAUAUGAUUGAAGAGAUUAUGGAAGUUUUCAUGGAUUAUUUCUCUGUUUAUGGAAAAACUUUUGACAGUUGUCUUGAAAACUUAGACAAGGUUUUGCAAAGAUGUGAAGAAAAGCACUUAAUCCUUAAUUGGGAAAAAUGUCAUUUUAUGGUUAGGGAAGGAAUAGUGCUGGGACACUUAGUGUCUGAAAGAGGAAUUGAGGUAGACAAAGCUAAAAUUGAAGUAAUUGAACAAUUACCUCCACCUGUAAACAUAAAAGGAAUUCGAAGCUUUCUUGGCCAUGCUGGUUUUUAUCGUAGAUUCAUAAAAGAUUUUUCAUUUAUUGCUAGACCACUUACUCUUUUGCUAGCCAAGGAUGCUCCUUUCGAAUUUGAUGAUGCAUGUCUAACAUCGUUCAAUUUAUUAAAGAAAGCACUCAUCUCUGCACCAAUCAUUCAACCCCCUGAUUGGUCGCUGCCUUUUGAAAUUAUGUGUGAUGCUAGUGAUUAUGCUGUGGGGGCAGUAUUGGGACAAACUAAAGAUAAGAAGCAUCAUGCAAUUGCUUAUGCCAGUAAAACUUUGACAGGAGAUCAACUUAACUAUGCAACCACUAAAAAAGAGCUUCUGGCUGUUGUCUUUGCCAUUGAUAAAUUUAGAUCUUAUUUAGUUGGAGCUAAAAUAAUUGUUACUAAUCAUGCUGCACUAAAAUAUUUGCUCACUAAAAAAGAUGCUAAACCUCGCCUGAUUAGAUGGAUCUUAUUACUCCAAGAAUUUGACUUAGAAAUAAAAGAUAAAAAAGGAGUAGAAAAUUCUGUUGCUGAUCACUUGUCUAGAAUGUAUUUCAAGAGUCCACAGGAAACCCCCAUCAAUGAUUCACUUCGGGACGACAUGCUCUACGGGAUUAACAGGUCUGACCCCUGGUAUGCAGAUAUUGUUGAUUUUAUGGUUUCAGGGUAUGUACCACCAGGAGCAAACAAGAAGAAGCUUAUUCAAGAAAGUCGUUCACAUAUAUGGGAUGAGCCAUACCUCUUCCAAGUAUGCUCUGAUGGCUUACUCAGGAGAUGUGUGACCAUUGAGGAAGGAUGGAAGAUCAUCGACAGAUGUCAUUCAUCACCAUAUGCCAAGGUCACUAUGGAGCAUUCCGUACACAUUCAAAGAUCUGGCAGUGUGGACUCUACUGGCCUACAAUGUAUGAAGACACGAGGCAAUAUAUCAGAAGAUGUGGGCCAUGUUAAAGACAUGGAAACAUAAAUACAAGGGAUGCAAUGCCACUCACCAACAACCUUCAGAUUGAGCUCUUUGAUGUCUGGGGAAUAGACUACAUGGGUCCAUUUCCUCCAUCAAAGAAGUGCGAGUACAUCUUGGUGGCGGUUGACUAUGUCUCCAAGUGGGUAGAGGCAUUACCUUGCAAGCAUGCUGACAACGUCAGUUCAAAGAGGAUGUUUGAAGAAAUUAUAUUUCCAAGAUUUGGAGUCCCCAGAGUAGUGAUAAGUGAUGGAGGAGCACACUUCAUCGACAAACGCUUCAAGCAAUAUCUAUCAAGACAUGGAAUCCGUCACAACGUCGCUACCCCUUAUCAUCCUCAGACAAGUGGCCAAGCAGAGACUUCCAACAAACAAAUCAAGAAUAUUCUUCAGAAGACAGUAAAUGAAAUGGGAACGGCGUGGAAAGACAAGUUACCUGAUGCACUCUGGGCAUACCGGACAGCAUACAAGACCCCAAUUGGAAUGUCUCCAUACCAAUUGGUGUACGGGAAGACUUGCCAUCUACCUGUUGAACUAGAGUUCAAAGCACACUGGGCCAUAAAGAGAUGGAAUAUGGACCUAGAUGUUGCUGGAGAUUAUAGAAGAAUGCAACUAUCAGAAUUGGAAGAAUGGUGAGAGAAGGCAUAUCACAACUCAAAGAUCUACAAAGAAAGAGUAAAAAGGUGGCAUGACAAGAGAAUCAAAAAGAAGGAGUUCACACCCGGAGAUAAGGUAUUACUUUUUAAUUCCAGGGUGAAGCUUUUCGGGCAUGGAAAACUCCGGAGCAAAUGGGAAGGACCAUUCAAGGUAAUUAAUUCAUCAUCCCAUAGAGCUAUCACACUUCAAAAUGACGAAGGUACGUUAUUCAAGGUAAAUGGUCAACGUCUUAAAUUAUUUUUAGAGCCCAAUGAGGAAUUUGAAGAAAUAGACGUAUUCCACUUUUACCUUCCCAUGGAGAAUUAGAGCCCGACCUUUUUAGUCUGAUGUUUUUGGGUCAUAUAUAUAUUUUUCUAAAUAAUUUCGUAUCUAGAAACGUGCUCGAGAAAGUGGGCCCACAGAGGGGCCAGAGAGAGGGCGGGCGCCCAGCUCAGGUGGGCGGGCGCCCAGCUCCUGUUCCCCCUCGGUCCCGAUUUUCUCUGUUAUGGAAAAUGCACUUAUGGUAAUUCGAAUAAUCCCUCGGAUGGAAAGUUUCCCACGCAAGUCGACGGGAGCAACCUGAACAACCCAUAGAGGCACCCUUUUGACCCCUAUAUAAACAGACCCUGACCUCAGUUUUCAAACACCAAGCCACCAAUCCUUCUCUCCUUCAAUUAGAGCUUGAUUAGCUCUCCUUAAAUUAGAGCUUGAUUAGUUCCUUGCUGCUCCAAUGGCCGAGAAGUACCACGAUGAUUGGGAAGUCGUCCCCUUCAACCUCAACAUGGAGCUUGUGGAAGACCCCGAUGCCCGUGCUCUCGUCCCGGCCAACACAGAGCGACAGCUAGAAGCUAUGCCAUUACGCCAACGCAGCUCCGCCCAAUCUUACAAUGCUCAACCAGUUCUCACCGCACCGCCACAACCCCUACUCCUCAAAGGAUCAUCAUCCAAGAUAAAGACCACUAUCAAGGUGCCAACCGGCACAAGGAUCCUUGCACCUAGACCCAAUGAGAGGGUCGUUGGAGUCAAGACCAACCGGAGCGGUGAGAUCAGCAGUAUUCGCUACACUACGGAGGAGGAAAGGCCUUUGAAGGGAUUAGACCAGCCAAAGUCCGUUUCAUCCCUCCAAAGGCAGCCCCGAAGCACUCUCUCAAUGCUUUUGAGACACCUCCCAAGCGUCGCAAGACUAUAAUGGAUAUUGAUGAGGAAGUUCGCAGGCUAGAUAGAGUUAUCAUAGAUCUCCAGUCCUCGAUCAACUCCCUCACUAGCCAGCUCUCUAACCACAACACUAUUAUACUAGGCCUUAGGCAGGAUCUUGCCAGUGCCAACAAGAAGAUCAAGGAAUUAGAGCGCCGCUAAGUUAUCUAGAUUAGACCUUGAGGCAAUGCAUUUUAGUUAUCUAUCUUUAAAUUCGGUUUAGGUUUGCAAUUAUCAUCAGUUUGCUAUUAUCAUCAGUUUGUUAUCAGUUUGCUACUAGUCUUUUGUAAUAAAUGCCUCAAGAUUAAUAAAGAGUAUUACUAUUAUUAUUAUUAUGUCUUGUGUGUCUCUACUUUAUUUUUGUGCAAGAAAGCAAAAAAACAAGUAUGGGGGAGAUCCCUCGACAUGCCAACCACACUCCUACUACACCACUCCACGAUUCAGGUACACACUCUGCACACUUUACACAUACAUAUAUUUUGGAUUAUGCAGAUUAUUGUUUCCGACAUGAUAAAAUAAAAAGAUUAAAAUAUUUCUAAUCAUGAUUAAUCUCAAUAUGUGAUAUUUCCUGAAAACUUACAAUUAUUGAAAAUCAUUUUAAAACCCUGUGUCACUUAAGUCAAUAUGGAAUAUGUGAUGGUAGAGUAUGAGUUUCUUAUUCUUGAUAUCAUUGUUGCUUGGAGAAUUUAUUUCAAAAUAUUCAAAAUUAUAGCUACCAUCCUCAGUGUUUUAUGGCUGAUAAGACUGAAAAUAUUAAUUAUAAUUAUAAAAGCUAUCUACUCUGUAUUGAGUUUGUUCAAAAUGAGUUAGACCCUUGUUGAGAGAUUUAUCAUGCUCCUAAGAUCAAGACAGUAUUUCAGAAAGAUUCACUCUUCCGAAGUAUUAUUGCAUUAGAGGCAUGGGCUAUGCAUAAAUAGAAAUAUUUCGAGGAAAUAAAAAGGAGCAAGUGCUCGACAACAUCGCAGAAAAAAAUGGACAAGUGUCCGGCAGUAGAAUUAGGGGUACCUCGGUAUCCACUUAAAAAAAAUAUACCCCAUGGUCCCUCUAAUAAGCAAUAUGCCAGCAAGAGUUGACAAAGAUUUUAAUUUCCAAAGUUUUUGAUCUAAGAGUAUGACAUUCCCCUCCUCGGAUCCCGUUUUGAUCAGGCAAUAAAUGCAAAGUAAGUAUGCUUGAGAAUUUUUGCAAAAAUAAAACAGCCUCAGUGAGAUAUAUACAAAAGAUAAUGAGUGAUCUGAGAGAACCUAUGAGGAUAAAAAGGUAUGCUAACUUUCUUUCAAAAAUAUACAAAAACUCCAAGUGACAGGAUUGAGAAGAAAGGAUCUCUACUCUUAACCAUAAACUUCCCUGACUAUGGUACAUAGUGGAAUUUUUAACACCCUGCAAUUAUAUAAAGAAUGUUUUAAAUGUUUUACCCCAGAUAUUGUUCUUAACCAUCCUUUUCUCGAGGACGAGUAAAAGCCUAAGUAUGUGGGUAUUUGUUGACGGUUCUUAAGUAUCAAUUUUAAUUAUCAAAUAAACAAGAGAAAGGACCAAUAUGCAACUAACACCUAGAAUUAGGGUUUGAUCUGACAGAAUUCCACGAGUUUUGUUGUUUAUCUAUUUCUGCAGGGGGUUAUCAGGAAAUAAGGAAGAAAGGCCCACAUGUCGGGAUUACAUAGAGAUAUCAACACAUCGCACGAUUUUCCACCAUCUAGAAGACUCCAGAAGCCACGGGAAGAAGACUGAGGCUGAAAGGGGCUAGGCCCAGGGCGCCCGCCCUGGUGACCUGGGCGCCCGCCCCAUGCUGGAUUGCUUUCAGGACUCUCUUCGCUCGGGAUAUUCCACCGACCUAUUGGAUCAAGAAAAACAUAGUACCACCUCGCCUAUCGACCCAAAAACGCAUAGAAGGGGAGGACUAUAUAAGGAGACCCCCUGGCCCCUGGAGAAGACAUGAAGAAAUUAUCAUAGAGAUUGAGGGGUGCCCUCGAAGGAAAACCUCUUCUCUAAUUAAUAUUUCUUUUUAGGCUUAGCAAUCAAUGUAAGGUAGAAAUAGAUCUUCUAGUUUCUACUAGAUUGAGAGAGAUAGAGUGGAGGUGUUGAUUGGAGGAAGCCCGGCCUGUCGGUGUCUACUCCAAGCUUGUACCUUGCGGGAUCAAGUUCUCCUAACCCGAAGCUUGCUCCUAGGAUUCUUCAGUAAUUCGACUUCUAAAUUCUAGUAAGUUCUUGUUUUAUUGUUCUUAUGGUUUAUGAGUUUACUUUAAUCUCUUCGCGUAGAGUUUAGAGUAAUCAUUGCUGGCGUAAACGUGGUGUUUAGGCUGGGGUACUCAUAGAUAUUCCCUGACUAGCUGGACCGUGGUAGUAGUGAGGAACGUGACAAUUCCGAGCUACCUUUGUAGAUCACAUCUCGUUAGCAGGAAGGAUAGGGUUUAUUGGUGCGGGUUGAACAUCCUUUGUGGUGUCUAGAUUCCGUUAGCCUCCCCAUUAGAACAGUAGAUCAUCCUUACCAAGGUUAGAAGGAGACUACGGUUGCAGUCUUCUCUAUUUAUCACUCACAUCGAAAGACAUUCUUUGUGCCUAAAGGUUAGUAGUAAUAGACCGGUUAGUCAGAUGCACUCUUUCUCCUAGUGGUAAAAAAAUAAAUACGAUACUCUGGAUAAUUUCCCGGGUGAAGUGCUCACCGAUAUCCGUGCGCUUGCGGAUCAAUUCCUUAUUGCGUUCCCAAAUAUCAACAGUUCUCACCUAACCCGGCAGUCACGGGAAGCGUGAUAGGGAGCAAGCACCCAUCCAAUCGCCCUUUUUGCAGCCUUGUCCACCAGAUGAACCAGAGUAGGUCAGGGCGCAGUGAGACGGUCGGAACGUCUUGUCACGACCCCCCUCGAGACGCCCAAAGUCAGCGCUCCUAUCAGCAAGGCUUUGCGUGGCGUUGGACCCUCGAGUGAACACUUUCCUUCCCAAAGAAGAGUCAGGCGGUGAAAGACAACACCUCAACAACUCUGACGCGACAGCAGCCACGACGUACAGGUGUGCCCACGGUUAAGCCGAUCCAGGACGGCGCGCAGGAGCCGAAUUCAGAGGCACGCGUAAUCAUCAUCCAAGUACUGAGUAACAAGACGGCUUGAGGCCACGCCAGUACGGAAGCCUCGAGUAGGUCAGCGCACCACGCAUCUAUCGACCCCUACUCUAUCACCUACGCCAUGUAACCUAGGUCACCCCUUGGAACUAUAAAAGGGUAGGCACAGGAAAGGAUAGGGGACACAAGACAUACCUAGAAGAACAACCACACUUCAUCUCCCACCAUCCACACAAUACCGACUUGUAUUCACCCCUGUACAAGCACUUAGGUGCAAGAUAAUAGAAACAUCUCCUCCCCACCCGACGUAGGGCCUUCUCUUGCCCGAACCAGGAUAAACCUUUGUGCCUUUCUUGCAUCACCAUCUGGGAAAGGGAACACGCACACAAGUUUCACUCGUUGGAGUGACCCCCCGUGGGGAAAACACCGAUAGAUAUAAAUAUUAAAACUGUGGGCAAUUGCUUUGUUCAAGUCAUUGUUUAUUUCUUGUGGUUUUGGUUGAGAGAAUUAUCAUGCUCCAAAGAUCAAGAUCGUUUUGUUUUAAAAAUAUAAAAGAUUCACUCUUCCGAAGUAUUAUUGCAUUAGAGGCAUGAGACUAUGCAAAAAUUUGAUUAAAAAAAAGAGUGAGACGAGAGGUAAAAAUGGACAAGUGUCCAAAGUAGAAUUAGGGGUACAAAGAUACCCACCUGAGUGGAAAAAAUGGACACAUGUCUGAUAGUAGAAUUAGGGGUACUUGGUGCCCACUUGAAAAAAAGAAAAAAAAGAGAGAGAGACUGAAAAAAAAGAGAGAAAAAAAAAUGAUAGCCCAUGGUCCCUCUAAUAAGCAAUGUGCUAGUAAGAGAUGACAAACUUUUCAAAAAGGUCAAAGGUAUUGAUGUAGGAGUAUGACAUUCCUCUCCCUUGCUCCGAGCAUUGACAUAGCAAAAUGCAAAGUAAGUAUGCUAAAACUUUUAAAGCUCUACUUAUAUAUCUUUCGAGAAGAAGGCAAAUGCCUCAGUUUUAUUUUGGAAACUUACAAAAAACUCCAGAACAAAGGUAAGACAGAAGAACUUGAGACAUAGUGCUUGACUUGAUCGUUCUGUUUUUCAAUCACUUAAGAGCUUAGUGAUAACUUAAUAACCCUGUAGUAAGAGGCAUAAAAGUAACCCCAGUUUUUUUCUGAUUUUAGCUUUGCUCAGGGACGAGCAAAGGUUAUGCUUGGGGGAGCUUGUUGACGGUCCUUAAUGCUCACAUUUAACCGUCAACUAAUCAUGGAAAAGGACUUAUAUACAACUGUUGGGUAUUUUAAACGCAAAGAGAAAAAUCCGCAAGCGCACGGAUACCGAUGUAGCCUUCACCCGGGAGUAUUCCAGAGUAUCGAUUUUCCACAGAGAACGUGAGUGUACUAAUUAAGAUCCAAGAUCGCCCAAGGAUAACUAUAUAAUUAUUUUUGGUGGGAAGAGAGGAAGUUUCCUGAGAGUUCUCUAGUUGAUCUAAGAAUCAAGAAUUACUUCAAGAUUAUUUAUAUCGGGACAUCAGAGCACUAACCACAGAAAGAGAUGAGAAGGGGGCUAGGAAGGUCUGACUACGGUCCUACAAACACCGAUCCGAACGUGGUGGAAUACGUCGACCGUUAGGGAUGUCACUACCCUAAGGCUACCACAACAAUCCGCAGGAUUGGGUGCAAUUCCAGGUAAUUGCAAGACUAAACACCACGUCUAAUCUAUUAAUUACUACUCUAAUGUUUCAAAGAUUAGAGCACUUGAUGCAAGCGGGAAUCCAAUAAAUAACUUGAAUGUAAAUAAAAGUAAUUAGAGAACUCAGGAGUUAUGAGUUGAAGAACCUAGAGAACGAUGAAGAACGAACCAGAUGUUGCAAAAGUACAAUGUUGAGGAAGAUCCGACAGAUCCGGCUCCUCCUCCGCUCUCCUCUUCUCUCUCCCUAUUUUCUAGAUUACAACUAGAACUAACUAGAACUAGAACUAGAGGAACUAGAACUAGAACUAAAUGAACUAGAACUAGAUCUAGAUGAACUAGAGGUAGAACUAGAAGAACUAGAGGGAUCCUCUCUACUUGGAUGAAUAAUUGAAACCCCUAGCUUUGAUUCUGUAGAAGAGGUAUGAUCUCCAGGGGCCAGGGGGUCUGGUUUUAUAGUCCCUUCAAGUGAAUCUGGGCCGUCGGAUCAAACCGACAUUGAUCGUGUGGUUCUCCUUGAUCCUUUAGGUCGGUGGAGCAUAAUCCGCGAAACGUGUCCUGAUUGGGCACUGUAGCUGGGCGGGCGCCCUGCCUCCGAGCCCGAUUUCCUUCCCGUUCGUUCCCGUGGCUUCUGGAGUCUUCUAGAUGAUAGAAAAUUGCGCGACACGUUAAUAUCUCUAUGUAAACCUGACGUGUGGGCCUUUCUUCCAUAUUUCCUGAUAACCCCCUGCAGAAAUACACAAACACCAAAACUCGUGGAAUUCUGUCAGAUAAAACCCUAAGUCUAGGUGUUGGUUGCAUUUGGAUCCUUUUCCAUGAUUAAUUGAUGGUUAAUUGUGAGCAUUAAGGACCGUCAACAAGCUCCCCCAAGCUUAACCUUUGCUCGUCCCUGAGCAAAGAUGAACUCAAGAGUUUCUGAAGUGGUUUCAUAACUUAAAGAUACACAUGCGUUUAAACAAGAUCUCAUAUCUGGUUAGAGUAAACUGUUAAGACUUAAAACUUACUCAUUUACCUUUCACCAUGGGACUUGUAACCGUCACUUCUGUCUUGAGUAGUUAAAAGAUAGAACGGUCUAGUCAAGCACCAUGUCUCUUAUUCUUGAUCAGCUAUAGCUCUAGAGUUUUUGCAGAUUUUCAAAUAAAACACAGAGAUUCCUUGUAUGACUCUCUCUAGUCUCUCUUUUGUGGUAUUUCUAGAUCCUUACCAAGGCAUUAAUGGUGUAUGCCUUCUCUCAAAGUAUGUGGUAUUUGUGGUAUAAGGCAUAGUGGCAUUGCCUUCUCUCUCACCCUACUCUUAUAAGGUUUUGAUAUCUGGAGCUCAUAGGUGGGAGACAGCUAAUACAUACUUACAAGACAUUUAUUGCAUAGUCAAACCAUGGAUCCAGAAGAACAAGUCAAUAAGUCAAAUCAAGAUGUGCAUGUGUGGUGAAUGAAUGGUGUAUGGUGAUGAUGGUUAUAACAAUGGUGAAAGUCUAAUUCUACUUAUGCUCUUUUGAGGGGAUACAUACCUUUCUUGCUCUUUUGAAACUUUUUGAGGAGAAUGAGAUGCUCUAUAUAUUUUUUUCUUUUCUCUCAGGUGGGUAUCUUGUGCCCCUAAUUCUACUGUCGGACACUUGUCCAUUUUUACCUCUCGUCUCACUUUUUUUUUAGGUUCCGGGCACUUGCCCCUUUUUAUUUCCUCGUAUUUAUUUUUUUUCUCUCUCUUUUUUUUCUUUUUUUUAGAGCACUCAUCUCCUGAAAUAAUAUAGCAAGUGGUAGUAACCAAGAUAACUUGUGCAUUUAUUUCACAGGGGAAAAACAGAAAUAUUUUUGGCUAUUCUCUCUCGGAUUAGGAGUAGAAUAUUUUUGGGUGGUUCUGGAGAUGGAAAUGGAUGGAUAUAUGUGGAUGCGUUCUUCCGAAGUAGAAGUAGCAUGUAUGAGUGAACGUGCAAGUGAAUCUUGAUUUAACCACAUGACAAGCUCCUAAGGGUCUACACAGCUUGACCACACUCAAUGCUCAUAAGUAGUAAAAAGUAAAUGUGUGGCUCAUAGUCUAACAAGCAUGUAUAUAUGGCUGUGGUAGGAAUUUAAACUCUCAUCAUACGGGAACUCAUCAUGCAACAUUUUAAAGAUUUUCAAAGAUAAAAUUCUCCAGAAUUCUAGCAUCCCUAGGAACACAUAAACAACAGCUUAACCUUCCCAUAUCAUAUCCGUUAACAACUUAGACUUUAGAUCAAGUACUCUCCCCACAAGUUCAGGUUUAGAGCAAAUCUUAAUUAAUAACAGUCAUGCCUAAACUUGAGAGAGAUUUCAAUUUUGAUAACUAGUCAUGGUAGAGCAACUAUUCAUCAUUUCCAUGUGAGAGCUUAUUAUGAGGGUUCAUAGCAAACUUUAUUUAUUUAUUUAUUUAGCAAGCUAAGCAAAGAUAUAUAUAAGCACAAAAUCUUUAUUUGGGUUUUUAUGAUCAUGCAUCUUUUUAUUAUUUGAGUAAAAUAUAAACGUGAGUAGAACACUUAGCUGGAUAAAUGGGGGUGCUCUCCCCCAAGCUGGAUUUUGACGUAAUUUCUUCUGAUGUAGCUAGCAGGUGGCGGAGGUGUAUUUGAAUGUCGGCAGCACUCUGAUAGCGAUUAGGAUGUCCUCCGUCUGCUAGUCUUCUUUGAUCCUUGAAUUUUGUGGAGCUCAAAUAGACAACAAAACUUUGUGGAACUAGUUAAGUGUUAGCAUAAAAACUCUUAGCCGUUAUCAUGUUGAGCUUCCUCUAAUAAAUUUUACUCUCUUUGGUAGGAUCAUAAAUCUAUUUUUAUAAUUUUAUUUUUAUAGGACAGGAAUAUAUUUACUUUAUUUUUAUGCCACCAUAGUGAAUGUACUUAUGGGUUUUAUGCCAUGAGCAUACUCACAUGGGGCUUACUUAACAUUUUUAUUUUCUAUUCAAGAUGAUAUGAACCAGAUUAACUAAGCAAACUAUUUUAAAAUAAUUGAAAGGAAAAAGAUAACUACCAAGUUUACCUCUUGGCAAGGCGUUCGGUGUUUUUAAGUCCUCCGAACGGGACUCUCCGUUUUCUCAGUCGUCCUGGAAUUCGCUGGAUGGCGUAGUCGGUGGUUCCGGCGGUGCCUCCUCUUUAUGUAUAACUAUCUUCUCUCUACACACCUGACUCGGUGCUACGGUCUCCUCAGGACAGUUCUGUUCAAGUUGUAUGUCUUCAGACCUUACGACUUCUCCUUCAUAGUCUGCCCAUCCGUCCUUGAUGAUUUGCCUCCUCUGGUUGCGGUUGCGUCGUCUUCUUCUUGCCCUGACCUGCUUAGAGUCAUCAGCUAUAUAGUUAGGGUCAGUAAAAUAGCGGCGUACCUUCUCAGAGGGGGAGUUCAUGUGGACUUCUCCGGUUCCAAUGUAGAUGAUUGCUUUAACAGUGCUGAGGAACGGUCUUCCAAGGAGGAUGGGUGGAUCGUACUUGUCUUCUCCCAUGUCAAUAACCUUAAAAUCAUCUGGAGCUAAAUGUAUGUUGGUUGUAGGGACAUGGUUCCAUGCAGGAGCUGAUAAGUGACUGCGGCCAUUAUAUUGACGUUAGAUCCGGUGUCGUAGAGUGUCUUCUGAAAAGAAUAUCCGUUGAUUGUGCACUCGAUGCUUGGGACACCAGGGUUGUCCUUCUUGAUCAAGAAAGGUGACUUGAGUUGACGAUCUUGACCUCCUUGAACUGCAGUGACCAUCUUAGCUGACUCGGUACACAUUUGCUUGUUCCUGUUCCUCCUGUUGGUCCUCUUCCUUGGUUCAUGUCGGGAAUGCUCUGAGAUUUGUGUAGUCUUGUUUCUUGAAGGAAAACGUCUCCUUCUUCCCCUUGAUGUAGAAACUGAUCUUGGCAGCACUAGCAUAGAUGACAGCUCUUGAGGUGUUCAGGAAUGGCCUCCCUAGGAUGAUGGGUGCCCUCUCAUCAGUACCAGUCUCUAUUACCAAGAAGUCUGCUGGGGCGUACAAGGUACCAACUCAGACGCAGAGGUUCUUCAAUAUCCCCUUUGGGAAACUUAGUGUCUGAUCUGCAAGCCUGAGCAUAAUGUUGACGCUGGAGCCAAAGUUACAGAGUGCUUCUAGGAAGUCCACCAUGCCGAUGGAGAUCGGGAUGACGAGACGUCCUGGAUUGUAUCUCUGGACCGGCAGAAGGUCAGUAAUUACUUACACAACGGGGUUACUCCAGUAGUUACGUCCUCAAGCAUCUUAGGGCAGUGAUUGCAUGAGUGUCUAGUAUCUCCAGUGUGUUUGUGCUCGUAGAUCUCGGUUCUUCACUUGGUGGAGUCUAGGAGUUGUAAAACUCCUUCAAAUUUUGCUCCAAGUGUACCUGCUCAUAGAGACAAGGCAGAGAUCAAGUGCAUGGGCCCUGUUGGUGGAAAACACCAACAGAACCAAAAGUGUAUUUGUUCUUCUCUAACCUCAAGCAUAGUGAGCAAGACAAAGUUGAUGGAUAAUAAGAUCAUGAGUGUAGCAUUUAAAACAUUUGUCAGAUCAGAUCACUCAACCUAAUGGAAAGAUAAUCUAUCUAUACUUAUGUGUUUUCUCUUUUUUUUUAUAUAUAUCUUCCAAAGAUUGUGUGUGCAACAUUUAGUGUGGGAUCACAAAGAUGGAAGGACUAAACAUGUUUAUUGGGUUGGUUAAUCUAGAGUUGUAAAUCAUACAUGUUUGUCUCUUUUAUUCAUGUGAACGCUAGAACGAAGGAGAAGCUUAUAAAAAAUGAUAGUCAAGUACCUUAAGAUGUUACCUUACUUGAAGAGUGAUGGUACAGUAUCACCUUGUGGAAGCUUUCCUCUCUUAGCGGUUGUGCAUCGUGUUUUUGGCACCCGCCAUGGAUCAUCUCUUGUGAGCUAUGCCUUCCUUGUGUAAAUUGUUAGACUUCAUGUGUGUCUCUCUUUGUCUCCAAUGUGAGUUUAUCUCAGGACUUCCCAAGUUGAUAUUGAAAGUUUUCCUGCAGGGGUUAGUCCAACAAAAUAUCCAAUAUCUACUAUAGCAUACUAUCGGCUCAAAAAUCAACCUAGACACCAUGUCUAAUUUGAUUUAGGAGGGCAUUUUAACCUAAGCAUCAUGCUUAAUUUAAACUCCCUUGGUAGUAAGAUCAUCAGCCCUAAACUAAGCACCAUGCUUAAUUAAGAGAUAAAUGAAACUACUCCAAACCUAGACAUAUACUAAAGCAAAUAAAGGUAGCAUGAGAGCAUUUAUAGAGAUCUACUCAAGUGGAGAUGAAGUAGUGUGAUUAGUAUUUAACAAAUUGAGCAUGUCUCAAAGGUAGGGAUAACCAACAUAGCAACAUGGCAAAGGAUGUUUUUAUGUAAAAUACUCCCCCAAGCUUGAAUUUUGUAAAAUUUAAGUUUGGAUGAAUUUAAUUCAAUGUAGUAUGAUGAUUGGUUGGACAUACCUUGUGCUUGUCAUUCAUCCGAUCUUCUUGCUCCAAUCCUGGAAAGGUUAGUGACAAGAAUACCCGAAGGAAUAUUUUUACAAUUAUCCUUAUAUGCUCAAUACACAAGGUAAUGUUGCAAAUAAUUAAAAGCUCAUGUUAUGAUCUGAUCAGUGCUUAUUUUAGGACACUAAGCGUGUCCUUGGGAAACCAUCAAUUUAUGUCAGCGAAGUGGUUUCCCCUCCAACGCUGACCUAUAUCAAGAUCAACUCAACGAGAUCUGCAAUAUUUAAUAUAGACAUAUGCAUCGACAACCGCCCUUUUAAAGUUUUUAUGAAUAGAAAGGAAGUGGGGGUUGGAGAUCUCGAAUGUGGUGAUGUUGGAGAGACCAAUGGAUUGUGAAGAUGUUGCAUAUGAGCAUGGCGUCAAUGAAGUGGCUAUGAAAUAAAUUCCAUGCUCAUUAAUGCUUAGAGUGAAAUCCAUGUGGUAUGGUGAAAAUGAUAAGGUGAGUGUGGUAAAAAAGGAAAAGAAAAAGGAUACACGGACGACUUGGUUCGAAACUAGCAUAGCUACCGUUCCCCGACAACGGCGCCAGAAAGCUUGUUGGGUAUUUUAAACGCAAACAGAAAAAUCCGCAAGCGCACGGAUACCGAUGUAGCCUUCACCCGGGAGUAUUUUUCCACAGAGAACGUGAGUGUAAUAAUUAAGAUCCAAGAUUGCCCAAGGAUAACUAUAUAAUUAUUUUUGGUGGGAAGAGAGGAAGUUUCCUGAGAGUUCUUGUUGACGGUCCUUAAUGCACAUAUUUAACCAUCAAUUAAUCAUAGAAAAGGAUCCAAAUGCAACCAACACCUAGACUUAGGGUUUUAUCUGACAGAAUUCCACGAGUUUUGGUGUUUGUCUAUUUCUGCAGGGGGUUAUCAGGAAAUAUGGAGGAAAGGCCCACACGUCGGGUUUACAUAGAGAUAUUAACGUGCCGCGCAAUUUUCUAUCAUCUAGAAGACUCCAGAAGCCACGGGACCGAAGCGGAAGCCGAGAGGCCUCAGGGACAGGGCGCCCGCCCUAGUCCUGAGGGCGCCCGCCCUCCCCCCUGGACCAAUCAGGGUGAAGUUCGGGGAUCAUGCUCCACCGACCUAAUACUUCAAGGAAAACCACACGAUCAAUGUCGGUUUGAUCCGAUGGCCCAGAUUCACUUGAAGGGACUAUAAAACCACACCCCCCUGGCCCCUGGAGAUCAUACCUCUUCUACAGAAUCAAAGCUAGGGUUUCAAUUCUUCAUCCAAGUAGAGAGGAUCCCUCUAGUUCUUCUAGUUCUACCUCUAGUUCAUCUAGAUCUAGUUCUAGUUCAUCUAGUUCUAGUUCUAGUUCCUCUAGUUCUAGUUCUAGUUAGUUCUAGUUGUAAUCUAGAAAAUAGGGAGAGAGAAGAGGAGAGCGGAGGAAGAGCCGGAUUUGUCGGAUCUUCCUCAACAUUGUACUUUUGCAGCAUCUGGUUCGUUCUUCAUCGUUCUCCAGGUUCUUCAAUUCAAAACUCCUGAGUUCUCUAAUUACUUUUAUAUACAUUCAAGUUAUUUAUUGGAUUCCCGCUUGCAUCAAGUGCUCUAAUCUUUGAAACAUUAUAGUAGUAAUUAAUAGAUUAGACGUGGUGUUUAGUCUUGCAAUUACCUGGAAUUGCACCCAAUCCUGCGGAUUGUUGUGGUAGCCUUAGGGUAGUGACACCCCUAACGGUCGACGUAUUCCACCUCGUUCGGAUCGGUGUUUGUAGGACCGUAGUCGGAGCUUCCUAGCCCCCUUCUCAUCUCUUUCUGUGGUUAGUGUUCUGAUGUCCCGAUAUAGAUAAUUUUGAAGUAAUUCUUUAUUCUUAGAUCAACUAGAGAACUCUCAGGAAACUUCCUCUCUUCCCACCAAAAAUAGUUAUAUAGUUAUCCUUGGGCGAUCUUGGAUCUUAAUUAGUACACUCACGUUUCCUGUGGAAAAUCGAUACUGUGGAAUACUCCCGGGUGAAGGCUACAUCGGUAUCCGUGCGCUUGCGGAUUUUUCUGUUUGCGUUUAAAAUACCCAACAAGCUUUCUGGCGCCGUUGCCGGGGAACGGUAGCUGUGCUAGUUUCGAACCAAGUCGUCCGUAUAUCCUUUUUAUUUUCCUUAUUUACCACACUCACCUUAUCAUUUUCACCACACCAUAUGGAUUUCACUCUAAGCAUUAAUGAGCAUGGAAUUUAUUUCAUAGCCACUUCAUUUACUCCAUGCUCAUAUGCAACAUCUUCACAAUCCAUUGGUCUUUCCAACAUCACCACAUUCGAGAUCUCCAACCCCCUCAUCCUGUCUAUUUAUAAAAACUUUAAAAGGGCGGUUGUCGAUGCAUAUGUCUAUAAUAAAUUUUGCAGAUUUCGUUGAGUUGAUCUUGAUAUAGGUUGGUGUUGGAGGGGAAACCACUUCACCAACAUAAAUUGAUGGUUUCCCAAGGACAAGCUUAGUGUCCUAAAACAAGCACUGAUCAGAUCGUAACAUGAGCUUUUAAUUAUUUGCAACAUUACCUUGUGUGUUGAGCAUAUAAGGAUAAUUGUAAAAAUAUUCCUCUGGGUAUUCUUGUCACUAACCUUUCUAGGAUUGGAGCAAGAAGAUCGGAUGAAUGACAAGCACAAGGUAUGUACAACCAAUCAUACAACAUUGAAUUAAGUUCAUCCAAACUUGAAUUUUGCAAAAUUCAAGCUUGGGGGAGUACUAUACAUAAAAACAUCCUUUGCCAUGUUACCAUGUUGGUUGUCCCUACCUUUGAGACAUGCUCAAUUUGUUAAAGACUAAUCACACUACUUCAUCUCCACUUGAGUAGAUCUCUAUAAAUGCUCUCAUGCUACCUUUAUUUGCUUUAGUACAUGUCUAGGUUUGGAGUAGUUUCAUUUAUCUCUUAAUUAAGCAUGGUGCUUAGUUUAGGGCUAAUGAUCUUACUUCCAAGGGAGUUUAAAAUAAGCAUGAUGCUUAGGUUAAAAUGCCCUCCUAAUCAAAUUAGACAUGGUGUCUAGGUUGAUCUUUGAGCCGAUAGUAUGCUAUAGUAGAUAUUGGAUAUUUUGUUGGACUAACCCCUAUAGGAAAACUUUUAAUAUCGACCUGAGAAGUCCUGAGAUAAACUCACAUUGGAGAUAAAGAGAGAGACACAUGAACUUUAUCAAUUUACACCAGGAAGGCAUAGCUCACAAGAGAUGAUCCAUGGAGGGUGCCACAAACACGAUGCACAACCGCUAAGAGAGGAAAGCUUCCACAAGGUGAUACUGUACCAUCACUCUUCAAGUAAGGUAACAUCUUAAGGUACUUGACUAUCACUUCUAUAAGCUUCUCGUUGGUUGUGGCAUUCACAUGAAUAAAAGAGACAAACAUGUAUGAUUUACAACUCUAGAUUAACCAACCCAAUCGAUUCAACAUGUUUAGUCCUUCCACCUUUGUGAUCCCACACUCCUAAUCAUAUGAACUAAAAUGUUGCACAUUCAAUCUCUGGAAGAUAUAAACAAAACAUAAGUAUAGAAAGAUUAUCUUUCCAUUAGGUUGAGUGAUCUGAUCUGACGAAUGUUUUAAAUGCUACACUCAUGAUCUUAUUAUCCAUCAACUGUGUCUUGCUCACUAUGCUUAAGGAUAGAGAAGAACAAAUACACUUUUGGUUCUAUUGGUGUUUUCCACCAACAGGGCCCAUGCACUUGAUCUCUGCCUUGUCUCUAUGAGCAGGUACACUUCGAGCAAAAUAUGAAUAAGUUUUUCAACUCCCAGACUCCAUUAAGUGAAGAACCUAGAUCUACAAGCACAAACACACUGGAGAUGCUGGACACUCAUGCAAUCACUGCCCUGAGAUGCUUGAGGACGUAACUACUGGAGUAACCCCGUUGUGGAAGUAAUUACUGACCUUCUGUCGGUCAAGAGAGGCGAUCCAGGACGCCCCAUCAUCCCGAUCUCCAUCGGCAUGGUGGACUUCCCAGAAGCACUCUGUGACUUUGGCUCCAGCGUCAACUUUAUACCUAGGGGAAGCCAUUCCUGAACACCUCGGGAGCUGUCAUCUACGCUAGUGCUGCCAAGAUCAGUUUCUACAUCAAGGGGAAGAAGGAGACGUUUUCCUUCAAGAAACAAGACUACACAAAUCCCAGAGCAAUCCCGACAUGAACCAAGGAAGAGGACCAACAGGAGGAACAAGAACAAGCAAAUGUGGUCCGAGUCAGCUAAGAUGGUCACUGCAGUUCAAGGAGGUCAAGAUCGUCAACUCAAGUCACCUUUCUUGAUCAAGAAGGAUGACCCUGGUGUUCCAAGCAUCGAGUGCACAAUCAACGGAUAUUUUUUUUAGAAGACACUAUACGACACCGGAUCUGACGUCAACAUAAUGGCCGCAGUCACUUAUCAGCUCCUGCAUGGAACCAUGCCCCUACAACCGACAUACAUUCAGCUCCAGAUGGCAGAUCAGACAUUCCGUAAGGUUAUUGUCAUGGGAGAAGAUGAGUACAAUCCACCCGUCAUCCUUGGAAGACCGUUCCUCAGCACCGUUAAAGCAAUCAUCUACAUUGGAACCGGAGAAGUCCACAUGAACUUCCCCUCUUAGAAGGUACGCCGCUAUUUUACUGACCCUAACUAUAUAGUUGAAGACUCUAAGAAGGUCAGGACAAGAAGAAGAUGACACAACCGCAACCAGAGGAGGCAAAUCAUCAAGGACGGAUGAGCAGACUACGAAGGAGAAGUAGUAAGGUCUGAAGACAUACAGCUUGAUCAGAACUGUCCUGAGGAGACCGUAGCACCGAGUCAGGUGUGGAGAGAGAAGAUAGUUAUACACGAAGAGAAGGCACCGCCGGAACCACCGACUACGCCAUCCAGCGAAUCCCUGGACGAAUGAGAAAAUAGAGAGUCUCGUUCGGAGGACUUAAAAACACCGAACGCCUUGCCAUGAGGUAAACUUGGUAGUUAUCUUUUUCCUUUCAAUUAUUUAAAACAUUUUGCUUAGUUAAUCAGGUUCAUAUCAUCUUAAAAAGAAAAUAAAAAUGUUAAAAAUAGUAAGCCCCAUGUGAGUAUGCUAAUGGCAUAAAACCCAUAAGUACAUUCACUGUGGUGGCAUAAAAAUAAAAUAAAUAUAUUCCUGUCCUAUAAAAAUAAAAUUAUAAAAAUAAAUUUAUGAUCCUACUAAAGGGAGUAAUAUUUAUUGAGGAGGCUCAAUACGAUAAAGGCUAGAUGUUUAUGCUAACACUUAACCAGUUCCACAAAGCUUUGUUGUCUAUUUGAGCUCCACAGAAUUCAAGGAUCAAAGAAGACUAGCAGACGGAGGACAUCCUAAUCGCUGACAGAGUGCUGCCGACAUUCAAAUACACCUCCGCCAGCUGCUGGCUACAUCAGAAGGAAUUACGUCAAAACCCAGCUUGGGGGAGAGCAACCCCCAUUUAUCCAGCUAAGUGUUCUACUCAUGGUUAUACUUUACUCAAAUAAUAAAAAUACGCAUAAUCAUAAAACAAAGAUUUUGUGCUUAUAUCUUUGCUUAAUUUUCUAAAUAAAUAAAUAAAUAAAGUUUGCUAUGAACCCUCAUGAUAAGCUCUCACAUGGAAAUGAGGAAUAGUUGCUCUGCCAUGACUAAAUUCUCAAAAUUGAAAUCUCUCUUAAGUUUAGGCAUGACUGUUAUUAAUUAACAUUUGCUCUAAACCUGAACUUGUGGGGAGAGUACUUGAUCUAAAGUCUAAGUCGUUAACGGAUACGAUAUGGGAAGGUUGAGCUGCUGUUUAUCUGUUCCUAGAGAUGCUAGAAUUCUGGAGAAUUUUAUCUUUGAAAAUCUUUAAAAUAUCACAUGAUGAGUUCCUGUAUGAUGAGAGUUUAAAUUCCUACCACAGCCAUAUAUACAUGCUUGCUAGACUUUGAGCCACACAUUUACUUUUUACUGCUUAUGAGCAUUGAGUGUGGUCAAGCUUUGUAGACCCUUAGGAGCUUGUCAUGUGGUUAAAUCAAGAUUCACUUGUACGUUCACUCAUACAUGCUGCUUCUACUCCGGAAGUACGCAUCCACAUAUAUCCAUUUCCAUCUCCAGAACCACCCAAAAAUAUUCUACUCCUAAUCCGGGAGAGAAUAGCCAAAAAUAUUUCUGUUUUUCCCCUGUGAAAUAAAUGCUCAAGUUAUCUUGUUACUACCACUUGCUAUAUUAUCUCAUGAGAUGAGUGCUCUAAAAAAAAGAGAAGAAAAAGAAAAAAAAAGAGAUACGAGGAAAUAAAAAGGGGCAAGUGCCCGGAACCUCGAAAGAAAAGAAAAAAGUGAGACGAGAGGUAAAAAUGGAUAAGUGUCCGAUAGUAGAAUUAGGGGUACAAGAUACCCACCUGAGAGAAAAGAAAAAGAAAACAUAGAGCAUCUCAUUCUCCUCAAAAAGUUUCAAAGAGCAAGAAAGGUAUGUAUCCCCUCAAAAGAGCAAAAGUAGAAUUAGACUUUCACCAUUACUUUCACCAUUAUCACCAUUCGCCACACAUGCACAUCUUGAUUUGACUUAUUGACAUGUUCUUGUGGAUCCAUGGUUUGACUAUGCAAUAAAUGUCUUGUAAGUAUGUAUUAGCUGUCUCCCACCUAUGAGCUCCAGAUAUCAAAACCUUAUUAGAGUAGGGUGAGAGAGAAGGCAAUGUCACUAUGCCUCAUACCAAAAAUACCACAUACUUUGAGAGAAGGCAUACACCUUUACUGCCUUGGUAAGGAUCCAGAAAUACCACAAAAGAGAGACUAGAGAGAGUCAUACAAGGAAUCUCUGAGUUUUAUUUGAAAAUCUGCAAAAACUCUAGAGCUAUAGUUAAUCGAAGAACAAGAGACAUGGUGCUUGACUAGACUGUUCAAUCUUUUAACUACUCAAGACAGAAGUGACGGUUACAAGUCCCAUGGUGAAAGGUAAAUGAGUAAGUUUUAAGUCUUAACAGUUUACUCUAACCAGAGAUGAGAUCUUGUUUAAACGCAUGUGUAUCUUUAAGUUAUGAAACCACUGCAGAAACUCUUGAGUUCAUCUUUGCUCAGGGACGAGCAAAGGUUAAGCUUGCGGGAGCUUGUUGACGGUCCUUAAUGCACAUAUUUAACCAUCAAUUAAUCAUAGAAAAGGAUCCAAAUGCAACCAACACCUAGACUUAGGGUUUUAUCUGACAGAAUUCCACGAGUUUUGGUGUUUGUCUAUUUCUGCAGGGGGUUAUCAGGAAAUAUGGAGGAAAGGCCCACACGUCGGGUUUACAUAGAGAUAUUAACGUGCCGCGCAAUUUUCUAUCAUCUAGAAGACUCCAGAAGCCACGGGACCGAAGCGGAAGCCGAGAGGCCUCAGGGACAGGGCGCCCGCCCUAGUACUGAGGGCGCCCGCCCUCCCCCCUGGACCAAUCAGGGUGAAGUUCGGGGAUCAUGCUCCACCGACCUAAUACUUCAAGGAAAACCACACGAUCAAUGUCGGUUUGAUCCGACGACCCAGAUUCACUUGAAGGGACUAUAAAACCAGACCCCCCUGGCCCCUGGAGAUCAUACCUCUUCUACAGAAUCAAAGCUAGGGUUUCAAUUCUUCAUCCAAGUAGAGAGGAUCCCUCUAGUUCUUCUAGUUCUACCUCUAGUUCAUCUAGAUCUAGUUCUAGUUCAUCUAGUUCUAGUUCUAGUUCCUCUAGUUCUAGUUCUAGUUAGUUCUAGUUGUAAUCUAGAAAAUAGGGAGAGAGAAGAGGAGAGCGGAGGAAGAGCCGGAUCUGUCGGAUCUUCCUCAACAUUGUACUUUUGCAGCAUCUGGUUCGUUCUUCAUCGUUCUCCAGGUUCUUCAAUUCAAAACUCCUGAGUUCUCUAAUUACUUUUAUAUACAUUCAAGUUAUUUAUUGGAUUCCUGCUUGCAUCAAGUGCUCUAAUCUUUGAAACAUUAGAGUAGUAAUUAAUAGAUUAGACGUGGUGUUUAGUCUUGCAAUUACCUGGAAUUGCACCCAAUCCUGCGGAUUGUUGUGGUAGCCUUAGGGUAGUGACACCCCUAACGGUCGACGUAUUCCACCUCGUUCGGAUCGGUGUUUGUAGGACCGUAGUCGGAGCUUCCUAGCCCCCUUCUCAUCUCUUUCUGUGGUUAGUGUUCUGAUGUCCCGAUAUAGAUAAUCUUGAAGUAAUUCUUGAUUCUUAGAUCAACUAGAGAACUCUUAGGAAACUUCCUCUCUUCCCACAAAAAAUAGUUAUAUAGUUAUCCUUGGGCGAUCUUGGAUCUUAAUUAGUACACUCACGUUCCCUGUGGAAAAUCGAUACUCUGGAAUACUCCCGGGUGAAGGCUACAUCGGUAUCAGUGCGCUUGCGGAUUUUUCUGUUUGCGUUUAAAAAACCCAACAGUUCUCUAGAUGAUCUAAGAAUCAAGAAUUACUUCAAGAUUAUUUAUAUCGGGACAUCAGAGCACUAACCACAGAAAGAGAUGAGAAGGGGGCUAGGAAGGUCUAACUACGGUCCUACAAACACCGAUCCGAACGUGGUGGAAUACGUCGACCGUUAGGGCUGUCACUACCCUAAGGCUACCACAACAAUCCGCAGGAUUGGGUGCAAUUCCAGGUAAUUGCAAGACUAAACACCACGUCUAAUAUAUUAAUUACUACUCUAUUGUUUCAAAGAUUAGAGCACUUGAUGCAAGCGGGAAUCCAAUAAAUAACUUGAAUGUAAAUAAAAGUAAUUAGAGAACUCAGGAGUUAUGAGUUGAAGAACCUGGAGAACGAUGAAGAACGAACCAGAUGCUGCAAAAGUACAAUGUUGAGGAAGAUCCGACAGAUCCGGCUCCUCCUCCGCUCUCCUCUUCUCUCUCCCUAUUUUCUAGAUUACAACUAGAACUAACUAGAACUAGAACUGGAGGAACUAGAACUAGAACUAGAUGAACUAGAACUAGAUCUAGAUGAACUAGAGGUAGAACUAGAAGAACUAGAGGGAUCCUCUCUACUUGGAUGAAGAAUUGAAACCCUAGCUUUGAUUCUGCAGAAGAGGUAUGAUCUCCAGGGGCCAGGGGGUCUGGUUUUAUAGUCCCUUCAAGUGAAUCUGGGUCGUCGGAUCAAACCGACAUUGAUCGUGUGGUUCUCCUUGAUCCUUUAGGUCGGUGGAGCAUAAUCCGCGAAACGUGUCCUGAUUGGGCAAUGUAGCUGGGCGGGUGCCUUGCCUCCGAGCCCGAUUUCCUUCCCGUUCGUUCCCGUGGCUUCUGGAUUCUUCUAGAUGAUAGAAAAUUGCGCGACACGUUAAUAUCUCUAUGUAAACCUGACGUGUGGGCCUUUCUUCCAUAUUUCCUGAUAACCCCCUGCAGAAAUAGAUAAACAACAAAACUCGUGGAAUUCUGUCAGAUAAAACCCUAAGUCUAGGUGUUGGUUGCAUUGUUGACGGUUCUUAAGUAUCAAUUUUAAUUAUCAAAUAAACAUGAGAAAGGACCAAUAUGCAACCAUUACCUAGAAUUAGGGUUUGAUCUGACAGAAUUCCACGAGUUUUGUUGUUUAUCUAUUUCUGCAGGGUGUUAUCAGGAAAUAAGGAAGAAAGGCCCACAUGUCGGGAUUACAUAGAGAUAUCAACGCACCGCGUAAUUUUACAUCAUCUAGAAGACUCCAGAAGCCACGAGACCGAAGCGGAAGCGAAGCUGGGCCAGGCCUAGGGCGCCCGCCCUGGUAGCCUGGGCGCCCGCCCCCCUGUUGGAGCCAAUUCAGGACUCCUUUGCUCGGGAUAUUCCACCGACCUAUUGGAUCAAGAAAAACAUAGUACCACCUCGCCUAUCGACCCAAAAAUGCAUAGAAGGGGAGGACUAUAUAAGCAAGGCCCCCCUGGCCCCUGGAAGACAUGAAGAAAUUAUCAUAGAGACUGAGGGGUGCCCUCGAAGGAAAACCUCUUCUCUAAUUAAUAUUUCUUUUUAGGCUUAGCAAUCAAUGUAAGGUAGAAAUAGAUCUUCUAGUUUCUACUAGAUUGAGAGAGAUAGAGUGGAGGUGUAGAGUGGAGGAAGCCCGGCCUGUCGGUUUUCUACUCCAAGCUUGUACCUGCGGGAUCAAGUUCUCCUAACCCGAAGCUUGCUCCUAGGAUUCUUCAGUAAUUCGACUUCUAAAUUCUAGUAAGUUCUUGUUUUAUUGUUCUUAUGGUUUAUGAGUUUACUUUAAUCUCUUCGCGUAGAGUUUAGAGUAAUCAUUGCGGGCGUAAACGUGGUGUUUAGGCUGGGGUACUCAUAGAUAUUCCCUGACUAGCUGGACCGUGGUAGUAGUGAGGAACGUGACAUUUCCGAGCUACCUUUGUAGAUCACAUCUCGUUAGCAGGAAGGAUAGGGUUUAUAGGUGCGGGUUGAACAUCCUUUGUGGUGUCUAGAUUCCGUUAGCCUCCCCAUUAGAAUAGUAGAUCAUCCUUACCAAGGUUAGAAGGAGACUACGGUUGCAGUCUUCUCUAUUUAUCACUCACAUCGAAAGACAUUCUUUGUGCCUAAAGGGAUAGUAGUAAUAGAUUUGGUUAGUCAGAUGCACCCUUUCUCCCAGUGGUAAAAAUAUAAAUACGAUACUCUGGAAAACCUCCCGGGUGAAAUGCUCACCGAUAUCCGUGCGCUUGCGGAUCAUUUCCUUAUUGCGUUACCAAAUAUCAACAAGCAUUUCUGGCGCCGUUGCCGGGGAGAAAGACGGUUUGCUGAGAUAACUUUGAGUCUUGCUAUUAUCUUGUAUUAUACUUUUAUACUUUUAUUCUUUUAUCUAUUUAUCUUUAUGGAUAUCUCAAAUUCCAUAACUAUUAUUAAAUUCUUUGCACCUUCGGAGACCAGCCAUAGACCAUGGGAGUCAACACGUCCUGCCCCUAAUUAUGAUCUGUGUCCGGAGUUGAUUGCAAUAGGUCAAAACCAACCCUUUUCUAUAGCUGAGGUCCUAUCUUUUAAUCAAAAAGAUAACGCACUUUUAGCUACACCUAGGGAAUCUUUUAAUUUUUCUAUAAAUUCUGGUAUAGACCUAUCCCUACAAGACCAUGUUUUUCCUAGAUAUUUUCACAUUGGUCUUAAUCAUAUAACCUUUGGUAGAGUCUUUCUUUCUUUAUCUAUUAGUAAAGGAAGGUAUGUCUUCAUUUGUAGACAUCCUUCUUGUACUAGUCUUCAUAGAAAAAUCAUAGAGAUAGAGAAGGAAUCAUCUCCCAUACAAGGAGAGGAAGUUUCAAUAGGCGAUUUCCAAACUUUCCAAUCCCAUGAUUCGGCUAUCCAACCCAUCCUUGAGCCUAAUAAUCUCUACUAUGCUCUUUCUCUUGAACCUCCCGAUAAUCCUAUGAAUCUCUCUAGACAUCCCAUGCAUAAGAAGGAGGAUCGAGGAGAGCAACAUCAAUGGCUAGAGGGCAUUAAAAAUUCAUGUGCUAUCACCACAUUUGAGAUCUCUAACCCUCUCUUCUUUUCUAUUUAUAAAAACUUUAAAAGAGCGGUUGUCGAUGCAUAUGUUUAUAAUAAAUAUUGCGGAUCUCGUCGAGUUAAUUGAUGGUUUCCCAAGGACAAGCUUAGUGUCCUAAAACAAGCACUUAUCAGAUUGUAACAUGAACUUCUAAUUACUUGCAACAUUACCUUGUGUAUUGAGCAUAUAAGAUAAUUGUAGAAAUAUUCCUUCGGGUAUUCUUGUCACUAACCUUUCUAGGAUUGGAGCAAGAAGACCGGAUGAAUGACAAGCGCAAGGUAUGCCCAACAAAUCAACAUGCAACAUUGAAUUAAAUUCAUCCAAUCUUGAAUUUUGCAAAAUUCAAGCUUAGGGGAGUACUUCACAUAAAACAUCCUUUGCCAUGUUGCUAUGUUGGUUGUCCUUACCUUUGAGACAUGCUCAAUUUGUUAAAUACUAAUCACACUACUUCAUCUCCACUUAAGUAGAUCUCUAUAAAUGCCAUCACGCUACCUUUGUUUAUCCUAGUAAGUGUUAGUUUGGAAGUACUGCACAUACUUCUAUUGGCUUUUAAAUUAAGCAUGGUGCUUAGGUUAAACAGCCUUCCUUAAUCUGAUUAGACAUGAAGUCUAGUUCGGUUAUCGAACUAAAAAUUGCUUGUGUAGACAUUGGUAUAUUUUGUGGGACUAACCCCUGCAGGAAAACUUUCAAUAUCAACCUGGGAAGUCCUAAGAUAAACUCACAUUGGAGAUAAAGAAAGUGACACAUGAAGUUUAACAAUUUGCACAAGAAAGACGUAGCUCAUAAGAGAUGAUCCAUGGAGGGAGCCACAAACUCGAUGCACAACCGCUAGAAAGGAAAGCUUCUACAAGGUGAUACUGUACCAUCACCCUUCAAAGGUAACAUCUUAAGGUACUUGACUAUCCUUUUAUAAGUUUCUCCUUGGUUCUGGCGUUCACAUAAAUAAAGAGACAAACAUGUAUGAUUUAUAACUCUAAAUUAACCAACCUAACUGAUUCAACAUGUUUAGUCCCUUAAUCUUUGUUCUUAGUACUACCUUCGUAAUCCCACGCUUCUAAACAUAUAAGCUAAUAUGUUGCACAUUCAAUCUUUCGAAGAUAAAAACAAAACAUAAAUAUAGAUAGAUUAUCUUUCCAUUAGGUUGAGCCAUCUGAUCUAACAAAUGUUUUAAAUGCUACACUCAUGAUCCAUCAACUUUGUCUUGCUCACUAUGCUUAAGGUUAGAAAAGAACAAAUACACUUUUGGUUCUGUUGGUGUUUUCCACCAACAGAGCCCAUGCACUUGAUCUCUACCUUGUCUCUAUGAGCAGGACACAUUUUGAGAAACGUGAAGGCGUUUUACAACUCCCAGAUUCCAUUAAGUGAAGAACCGGGAUCUACGAGCACAAACACAAUGGAGAUCAGACACUUAGUUUCCCAAAGGAAAUAUUAAAGAACCUCUGUGUCCAAGUUGGUACCUUGUACGCUCCAGCAAACUUCGUGGUGGUAGAGACUGGUACUGAGGAGAGGGCACCCAUCAUCUUAGGGAGGCCAUUCCUAAACACCAGAGCUGUCAUCUACGCUAAUGCUGCCAAGAUCAGUCUCUACAUCAAGGGGAAGAAGGAGACUUUUCUUCAAGAACAAGACUACAUAAACUUCAGAGCAAUCCCGACAUGAACCAAGGAAGAGAACAGGAACAAGCAAAUGUGGACCGAGUCAGCUAAGAUGGUCACUGCAGCUCAAGGAGGUCAAGAUCGUCGACUCAAGUCACCUUUCUUGAUCAAGAAGGACGACCCUGUUGUUCCAAUCAUCGAGUGCACAACCAAUAGAUACUCUUUUUAGAAAACACUCUAUGACACCGGAUCUAACGUCAACAUAAUGGCCGCAGUCACUUAUCAGCUCCUGCAUGGAACCAUGCCCCUACAACCAAUAUAUAUUUAGCUCCAGAUAAUUUUUAGAACAAUGAUAUGGGAGAAGACGAGUACGAUCCACCCAUCAUCUUACGAAGACCAUUCCUCAACACUAUCCAAGUUAUCAUCUACAUUGGAACUGGAGAAGUCCACGUGUAUUUCCCCUCUGAGAAGGUACGCCAUUACUUUAAUGAUUCUAACUAUAUAGUUGAAGAUUCUAAGCAGGUCAGGACAAGAAGAAGACGACGCAACCGCAACCAGAGGAGGCAAAUCAUCAGGGACGGAUGGCAGACUACGAAGGAAAAGUUGUAAGGUCAGAAGACGUUGAGUUUAAACAGAAUUAUCCAGAGGAGACCGAAGCACCAAGUCAGGUGUGGAAAAGGAAGAUAACUAUACAUGAAGAGGAGGCGCUACCGGAAGUACCGACUACGCCACCCAACGAACCUCAGGAUAAUUGAGAAGGAGGAGAGUCCCGUUCGGAGGACUUAAAAACACCGAACGCCUUGCCAAGAGGUAAACUUGGUAGUUAUCGUUUCCCUUUCAAUUAUUUCAAGUAGUUCCCUUAGUUAAUUAAGUUCUAAACAGAAAGUAAAAAUGUGAAAAACAGUAAGCCCCAUGUGAGGAUACGAGUGGCAUAAAACCCAUAAGUACAUUCACUAUGGUGGCAUAAAAAUAAAAUAAAAAUAUUUUUCUGCUUUAUAAAAUAAAAAUAUAAAAACAGGGAGUAAUAAUUAUUAAGGAGUCUCAACAUGAUAAAGGCUAGAUAUUUAUGCUAACACUUAAUCAGUUCCACAAGCUUUGUUGUCUAUUUGAGCUCCACAGAAUCUAAGAAUCAAGAAGACUGGCAGACGGAGGAUAUUCUAAUCGCUGUCACAAUGCUGCUGACUUUCAAAUACACCUCUGCCACCUGCUAGCUACAUCAAGAGAAAUUACGUCAAAAUUCAGCUUGGGAGAGAGCACCCCCAUUUAUCUCUAUAAGUAUUUCUAUCUAUCUAUCUUUAUACUUAUAUUAUUUUAGAAUAUAAAUAUACAUAACUAUGAAAAACCAAAUAAAGAUUUUAUGCUUAUAUAUAUAUAUGUCUUUUGCUUAGUGUGUUUAAUAAAUAAAUAAAGUGGCUAUGCUAAUCUGUAUCUAAAUAAAACUCAAGCAUGGAAAUGAUGAAUAGUUGCUCUGCCUAAUUUGCACAUUUUAAGUUCUCUCUCAAGUCUAGACAUAACUGUUAUAAUUUAAAGCUUGCUCUAGACCUAAACUUGUGGGAUGAAAACUUGAUCUGAAAUCUAAGUUGUUAACGGAUACGAUAUGGGAAGGUUGAGCUGCUGUUUAUCUGUUUCUAGAGAUGCUAGAAUUCUGGAGAAUUUUAUCUUUGGAAAUCUUUAAAAUGUUGCAUGAUGAGUUCCUGUAUGAUGAGAGUUUAAAUUCCUACCACAGCCUUAUAUACAUGCUUGCUAGACUUCGAGCCACACAUUUACUUUUUACUGCUUAUGAGCAUUGAGUGUGGUCAAGCUGUGUAGACCCUUAGGAGCUUGUCAUGUGGUUAAAUCAAGAUUCACUUGCACGUUCACUCACACAUGCUACUUCUACUCCGGAAGUACCAUCCACAUAUAUCCAUACAUUUCCAUCUUCAGAAUCACCCAAAAAUAUUCUACUCCUAAUCCGGCAGAGAAUAGCCAAAAAUAAUUUUGUUCUUCCUUGUGUAAUAAAUGUCUCAAGAUCAAUAAAGAGUAUUAUUAUUAUGUCUUGUGUGUCUCUACUUUAUUUUUGUGCAAGAAAGCAGAAAACAAGUAUGGCGGAGAUCCCUCGACAUGCUAAACACACUCCGACUACACCAAUCCACGAUUCAGGUACACACUCUGCACACUUUACUUUACACAUAUAUAUAUUGUAGAUUAUGCAGAAUAUUGUUCCCGACAUGAUAAAAUAAAAAGAUUAAAAUAUUUCUAAUCAUGAUUAAUCUCAAUCUGUGAUAUUUCCUGAAAACUUGCAAAUUAUUAUAAAAUCAUUUUAAACCCUGUGUUACUUAAGUCAAUAUGGAAUAUGUGAUGAUAGAGUAUGAGUUUCUUAUUCUUGAUAUCAUUGUUGCUUGGAGAAUUUAUUUCAAAAUAUUCAAAAUUCUAGCUACCAACCUCAGUGUUUUAUAUGCCUGAUAAAACUGAAAAUAUUAAUUAUAAAAGCUAUUUGCUCUGUAUUGAGUUUGUUCAAAAUGAGUUAGACCCUUGUUGAGAGAUUUAUCAUGCUCCUAAGAUCAAGACAUUAUUUCAGUAAGAUUCACUCUUCCGAAGUAUUAUUGCAUUAGAGGCAUGGGCUAUGCAAAAAUAGAAGAUAUUUCGAGGAAAUAAAAAGGAGCAAGUGCUCGACAACCGCGCAGAAAAAAUGGACAAGUGUCCGGAAGUAGAAUUAGGGGUACCUCGGUAUCCACUUAAAAAAAAGAUAAAAGAAAAAAAAAUGACAGCCCAUGGUCCCUCUAAUAAGCAAUAUGCCAGCAAGAGUUGACAAAGUUUUUAAUUUCCAAAGUCUUUGAUCUAAGAGUAUGACAUUUCCCUCCUCGGAUCCCGUUUUGAUCAGGCAAUAAAUCCAAAGUAAGUAUGCUUGAGAAUUUUUGCAAAAUAAAACAGCCUCAGUGAGAUAUGUAUAAAAGAUAAUGAGUGAUCUGAGAGAACCUAUGAGGAUCAAAAAGGUAUGCUAACUUUCUUUCAAAAAUAUACAAAAACUCCAAGUGACAGGAUUGAAAAGAAAGAAUCUUUACUCUUAACCAUAUACUUCCCUGACUACAAUACACAGUGGAAUUUUUAACACCCUGCAAUUAUAAAGAGAAUGUUUUAAAUGUUUACCCCAGAUAUUAUUCUUAACCAUCCUUUUCUCGAGGACGAGUAAAAGCCUAAGUAUGGGGGUAUUUGUUGACGGUUCUUAAGUAUCAAUUUUAAUUAUCAAAUAAACAUGAGAAAGGACCAAUAUGCAACCAUCACCUAGAAUUAGGGUUUGAUCUAAUAGAAUUCCACGAGUUUUGUUGUUUAUCUAUUUCUGCAGGGGGUUAUCAGGAAAUAAGGAAGAAAGGCCCACAUGUCGGGAUUACAUAGAGAUAUCAACGCACCGCGUAAUUUUACAUCAUCUAGAAGACUCCAGAAGCCACGAGACCGAAGCGGAAGCGAAGCUGGGCCAGGCCCAGGGCGCCCGCCCUGGUAGCCUGGGCGCCCGCCCCCUGUUGGAGCCAAUUCAGGACUCCUUCGCUCGGGAUAUUCCACCGACCUAUUGGAUCAAGAAAAACAUAGUACCACCUCGCCUAUUGACCCAAAAACGCAUAGAAGGGGAGGACUAUAUAAGCAAGGCCCCCCUGGCCCCUGGAAGACAUGAAGAAAUUAUCAUAGAGACUGAGGGGUGCCCUCGAAGGAAAACCUCUUCUCUAAUUAAUAUUUCUUUUUAGGCUUAGCAAUCAAUGUAAGGUAGAAAUAGAUCUUCUAGUUUCUACUAGAUUGAGAGAGAUAGAGUGGAGGUGUAGAGUGGAGGAAGCCCGGCCUGUCGGUGUCUACUCCAAGCUUGUACCUGCGGGAUCAAGUUCUCCUAACCCGAAGCUUGCUCCUAGGAUUCUUCAGUAAUUCGACUUCUAAAUUCUAGUAAGUUAUUGUUUUAUUGUUCUUAUGGUUUAUGAGUUUACUUUAAUCUCUUCGCGUAGAGUUUAGAGUAAUCAUUGCUGGCGUAAACAUGGUGUUUAGGCUGGGGUACUCAUAGAUAUUCCCUGACUAGCUAGACCGUGGUAGUAGUGAGGAACGUGACAUUUCCGAGCUACCUUUGUAGAUAACAUCUCGUUAGCAGGAAGGAUAGGGUUUAUAGGUGCGGGUUGAACAUCCUUUGUGGUGUCUAGAUUCCGUUAGCCUCCCCAUUAGAAUAGUAGAUCAUCCUUACCAAGGUUAGAAGGAGACUACGGUUGCAGUCUUCUCUAUUUAUCACUCACAUCGAAAGACAUUCUUUGUGCCUAAAGGGAUAGUAGCAAUAGAUUUGGUUAGUCAGAUGCACCCUUUCUCCCAGUGGUAAAAAUAUAAAUACGAUACUCUGGAAAACCUCCCGGGUGAAAUGCUCACCGAUAUCCGUGCGCUUGCGGAUCAUUUCCUUAUUGCGUUACCAAAUAUCAACAAGCAUUUGGAUCCUUUUCCAUGAUUAAUUGAUGGUUAAUUGUGAGCAUUAAGGACCGUCAACAACAACCAACACCCAAAAUUAGGGUUUCAUCUGACAUAAUUACACGAGUUUUGGUGUUUGUCUAUUUUUGUAGGGGGUUAUUAUGAAAUAUGGAGGAAAGGCCCACACGUCGGGUUUACAUAGAGAUAUUAAUGUGUGCGCCAAUUUUCUAUCAUCUAGAAGACUCCAGAAGCCAUGGGAACGAACGGGAGGCCGAGCGGGCCCGGGGGCUGGGCGCCCGCCCUCCACCCUUGGGCGCCCGCCCUGCCCUGGUGACCAAUCAGGGCAGGUCUCGCGGAUCGUGCUCCACUACCUUUGAGGAUCAAGGAAAACCGUGCGAUUAAGGUCGUUUUGAUCUGACGGCCCACGUUCAUUUGGAAGGGCAAUAUAAGCAGGCCCCCCUGGCCCCUGGAGAACAUAUCUCUUCUACAGAAUCAAAGCUAGGGUUUCAAUUAUUCAUCCAAGUAGAGAUGAUCCCUCUAGUUCAUCAAGUUCUAGUUCUAGUUCAUAUAGUUCUAGUUCUAGUUAGUUCUAGUUGUAAUCUAGAAAAUAGGGGGAGAGAAGAGGAGAGCGGAGGAGGAGCCAGAUCUGUUGGAUCUUCCUCAAUAUUGUACUUCUGCAGCAACUGGUUCGUUAUUCAUCGUUCUCCAAGUUCUUCAAUUCAUAAUUCCUGAGUUCUUUUAUUAUUUUUAUUUGCAUUCAAGUUUUUUAUUGGAUUCCCGCUUGCAUCAAGUGCUGUAGUCUUUAUAACGUUAGAGUAGUAAUUAAUAGAUUAGACAUGGUGUUUAGUCUUGCAAUUACCUGGAAUUGCACCUAAUCCUGCGAAUUGUUGUGGUAGCCGUAGAGUAGUGACAGCCCUAACGGUCGACGUAUUCCACCUCGUUCGGAUCGGUGUUUGUAGGACCAUAGUCAGAGCUUCCUAGCCCCCUUCUCAUCUCUUUCUGUGAUUAGUGUUCUGAUGUCCCAAAAUAAAUAAUCUUUGAAGUAAUUCUUGAUUCUUAGAUCAACUAGAGAACUCUCAGGAAACUUCCUCUCUUCCCACCAAAAAUAAUUAUAUAGUUAUCCUUGGGUGAUCUUGAUUCUUAAUUAAUACACUCACGUUCCCUGUGGAAAAUCGAUACUCUGGAAUACUCCCGUGUGAAAGCUACAUCAGUAUCCAUGCGCUUGCGGAUUUUUCUGUUUGCGUUUAAAAUAGCCAAUAGACAUGAUCUAGAGGUAAGUAUAUAUCAUGCUUUAAAUAUCGAUGCCUGCUCGUUUACUUUAUUAUGCUAGCUAUACCUAAUCAAUGACCGUCUUAUUGGGCAGGGCUUGGGCUGGGCUACAACAAAGAUAUCGUACAGAUAUGAAUGUGCCACUUCCCCCUCCUGUUCUACUCCCUUGGGUGCCCACGCAGCCGUUUAGAACGAAUCUAUGUGGAUACUACGUUUGUGAAUUUAUGUGGUGCACCCUAUUUAAACCUGCUCAAAGUGUUCUAAAAGUAAGUAACAUGCAUGUGUAUACAGUAAAUUCAUAUCUUAUUUAUUUGUUGGAACUAAAUAGAUUUUAUGUAUAUUAAUAUCUUUUUUAACUAAUGCAAAUGGAAGGAGUGGAAUAUGAAAGGUAAAGUGUUUGAGUACACAUUACUCCUUAUAGUCCAGGACGAUCGCCGAAUUUAUCAACGAUCAUGUCAUUGUGGAAGACGACGAGUUCCACUUAUACCCAUAGGGCUUCAAGCCCAUUCCAAACAAGGACGAACACUUGUAUGAGCUUUGAGUGGGCGGGCAAACAUUAUGUAAUCAUUAACCGGCGACAGCACACUUGAUUAUUACUUGUACAUAAUAUUAUUAUUGUAAAUGUAAUGUGUUUGUACGUAUGUGUAUAGCUAUAUAAUAUAUAUAUAUAUAUUACGGAUAAUAUAUAUGUGUAGUUUCAUACUUUAUUUGUGUGCAAUAAUGACGCUCUCGUAUAGGUGCAACGUAUAUGGAUAAUAGUAGCGUAUAUGAAUAAAUUGGUGAACAUAUACAAUUGAAAACCAAAAUCAAUAAUGAAAUGAAAAUGAAAAAGAAUAAGAAAAAGGAAAAAACCCUUUAAUCCUGGUUGGUAAUACCAACCGGGACUAAAAGGGGUGGCGCCACGUCACUGCCUGGCACCCCCUCUAGUCCCGGUUGGUGUUACCAACCGGGACUAAAAGUCCCCCUUUAGUCCCGGGCCGGCGAGCCGGUACUAAAGGUGGGACUUUUGGUCCCGACCCCUUAGUCCCGUCUCGCCACCCGGGACUAAAGGUGGUUUUCGACCGAGACAAAAGGUCGGUCCUGUACCAGUGCUCGCUACUAUUGGAACCGAAAGCAGCUUGGUGACGGGACCCUGGUGGGGAUCGAGGCAGUGAUUCCUACCAGUGGAGGUGACCCCGCCUAGGGUGGCUGGGUGUACGAGUCCUGAGGCAGCACACCUUUCUAGGGUGCCAGCAGGGCUGCUUAUGCAGUUCUAAGGGAUAUCAUGGAGCGGUUUCCGCAAGAGCUAGCCCACGUCUUCGCUGGGGUGUUUCCCUGGGGUGACCCCUACACUUUGGUGUGGGAUCAGUCCGAGGUGAAUGCUCUAGAGUGGAGUGCGGAUGAGGAUCAGCACGGUGACAGUACAACUAUGAGUGCUAUGUUUGCCAUGAUGAAGACCUAUGGGGGUCUAGAGCGCUGUUUGGGACGCUUGUCUGGGUCUCUACUGACAAUUCAGGAUGAGAAGCGCCAGCUGUGGCAUGAGUUUGAUAGUGAGGUUGAGAGGCUAUAGGCAGAGUUGGCCCCUGUGACUCUAGAGAGGGACCAGGUAGUCCAGCAGAAUAGUGUGUUGAGUCAGGAUCUGCUAGCAGUGAGAGAGCAGAGGGGCAGGGUGACCAUAGCUCAUAGGAACAGCAAGCGCAUGCUAGUUCAUGUGCUUGGUUAGACGAAUGAAGCCUGGCAUGAGGAGGACACCCUGAGGGCCCAACAGCUGGAGCUUGAGCAGCAGCUAGCUAAUGCUGAGGAGUACAAUGAGAACCUGCAUGAGGAGAUCCACCAGCUGCAUAACCAGCUCCACCCUCACCACCUACCUGGAGCAGCUGAGUUAGACUUUGAGGAUGAGAUGGAUGAGGAUCCAGAGAUGGAGGCAGCCGCUAGUGGAGAUGAGGACGAGGAUGGAUCCAGCAUGGACAGCGACCAUAGCGAGUAGAUGCUAGGGCUCUAGAGCUAGUCCUUCUUCUUUUGCUGUUGUUGUUGCAUGGCAUGUGUUUGUAAUCUAUUGGAUCUGGGAUGUGUAAGACUUUAUGUGUUGAGUUGUGUUGACACUGAAAGUCCACUGUAUGUAUGCUGGCAAUUUUGGAUGUAUGCGAACCCUGUUGGCUAAAUGUUAAGUAAUCAGUUAGUGAUGUUGUGUGUGGAUGAUGAAUUAUUGUGCCUCUGUUUAUUGUGUGGAUUUAUUCUCAUCAGUAAAUUCAGUGUGGCAUGAUUUUGCAUAUGUCUACCGGUUGAUGGCAACUCCUAAUGACUGCUUAUUGUUGACGCAUGCAGAUGGUGCAAACGCGUGGCGGGGGUAACCGCAACCCUGGUGCUGGAGAAGGUUCCUCCGAAGGUGGGGCUCGCAUAAAUGAGGAAAGAGCACCAUCACCGCCACCACCACCGCCUCCUCCGUACACUGCGAUUUGUUUUUCACGCAGUUUCUAGGGAGCCAAUGAAACAUGGAGCAAAUGCAGCGAAACAUGGAAGCUGCCCUACGCAACAUCACUGACAACACCUGCCGUGGGGAUAACCAGGGAGGUCACGAAGUGAACCAGUAUAACUCUUUCAAGGACUUUAUGGACACAAAACCACCGGUCUUUAAAGAGGCCAUGGAACCGCUUGAGGCGGAUGACUGGAUUAACACCAUAGAGCAGAAGUUCCGUCUCCUUUAGCUGACCAAAGAGCUCAAGGUAGAGUACGCAGCGCAUCACUUGCACGGACCUGCUAGGAUAUGGUGGUCCCAUCAUCGUACCACCUAUCCAGAGGGGACCCCGAUCACCUGGAACCGCUUCACCACCACUUUUUGGGGAAAUUAUAUUCCUCUGAGUGUGGUGGAUUUGAAGAUUGGAGAAUUCAUGAAGCUGUCUCAAGGAACCAAGUCUAUGAAAGAGUAUCUACACGCUUUCAACAAUCUUGCUCGAUACGCUCUAGAGUUUGUUAACAAAGACGCCAAGAAGAUUGCUAGCUUCCAGAGAGGCUUGAGCCCAAAGAUGCUGAAGACUACGGGUAUAGGGACCCGAGCUACUUUUAGUGCCUACAUCAGCGACUGUCUUACCCAAGAGAACAAUAACAAUAACUAUAGUGCAUCCAAGUCACGUAAGAGGGCUUUUGAAGCUGGAUCGUCUCAGUCUAGGGCACCAGUGGCAGGACGUCAGCAGAAUCGUCGUCCUGCCCAAGGUGCUAGGUUCCGACCUCCAUAGAAAAUAAAUACAGGACAUCCCACUCAGGAGAAGCCGUACAAGGUAGCAGUGACCCCAGCAAAGCCAUGGGCGAAUCAAGCUGCAGCACCAAGUGCCAACACCAUGACCAAGGCACCGUGCUACAACUGCCACAAGAUGUGGCACUUUGCUAAAGAAUGUCCCUACCCCAAGAAGCAGCAGACAACCUAUCCAGCCCGUCUACACUACACCUCGAUAGAGGAGAUCCCAGAAGGAGAACCGGUUACAUCUGGUAUGUUCCCUAUCAACCAACAUCUUGCAAUUGUUUUGUUUGAUUCUGGAUGAUCGCAUUCAUUUAUGAGUCAAGCAUUUGCACAAAAGCAUGAUCAACUAGUUACCGAGUUGGGUUGUGGUUAUCGCAUCAGUUUACCUGGGGCUAAUGUGUUGACCAACAAAGUAGUAACAUGGGCUACCUUGCAUAUCAGUGGCCGAAUGUUUCGCGUAAACCUUGUAGUCAUGCUAGGGUUAGUUUUGGACGUUAUCAUUGGUAUGAAUAAGAUGACAGACUGGGGUGCAAUCAUAGAUGUAGGUCAGAGGACUCUCUCCCUUAAGGAUCCAUAGGGGGCGUGUUGGGUAUUUUAAACGCAAACAGAAAAAUCCGCAAGCGCACGGAUACCGAUGUAGCCUUCACCCGGGAGUAUUCCAGAGUAUCGAUUUUCCACAGGGAAUGUGAGUGUACUAAUUAAGAAUCAAGAUCGCCCAAGGAUAACUAUAUGAUUAUUUUUUUUGUGGGAAGAGAGGAAGUUUCCUGAGAGUUCCCUAGUUGAUCUAAGAAUCAAGAUUUACUUCAAGAUUAUCUAUAUCGGGACAUCAGAACACUAACCACAGAAAGAGAUGAGAAGGGGGCUAGGAAGCUCCGACUACGGUCCUACAAACACCGAUCCGAAUGUGGUGGAAUACGUCGACCGUUAGGGCUGUCACUACCCUAAGGCUACCACAACAAUCCGCAGGCUUGGGUGCAAUUCCAGGUAAUCGCAAGACUAAACACCACGUCUAAUCUAUUAAUUACUACUCUAGCGUUAUAAAGACUAGAGCACUUGAUGCAAGCGGGAAUCCAAUAAAUAACUUGAAUGUAAAUAAAAGUAAUUAAGGAACUCAGGAAUUAUGAAUUGAAGAACCUGGAGAACAAUGAAGAACGAACCAGAUGCUGCAAAAGUAUAAUAUUGAGGAAAAUCCGACAGACCCGACUCCUCCUCCACUCUCCUCUUCUCUCUCCCUAUUUUCUAGAUUACAACUAGAACUAACUAGAACUAGAACUAGAGGAACUAGAACUAGAACUAGAUGAACUAGAACUAGAUCUAGAUGAACUAGAGGUAGAACUAGAAGAACUAGAGGGAUCCUCUCUACUUGGAUGAAGAAUUGAAACCCUAGCUUUGAUUCUGUAGAAGAGGUAUGAUCUCCAGGGGCCAGGGGGUCUGGUUUUAUAGUCCCUUCAAGUGAAUCUGGGUCGUCGGAUCAAACCGACAUUGAUCGUGUGGUUCUCCUUGAUCCUUUAGGUCGGUGGAGCAUAAUCCGCGAAACGUGUCCUGAUUGGGCACUGUAGCUGGGCGGGCGCCCAGGAGAGUUGGGUGGGCGCCCUGCCUCCGAGCCCGAUUUCCUUCCCGUUCGUUCCCGUGGCUUCUGGAGUCUUCUAGAUGAUAGAAAAUUGCGCGACAUGUUAAUAUCUCUAUGUAAACCCGACGUGUGGGCCUUUCUUCCGUAUUUUCUGAUAACCCCCUGCAGAAAUAGACAAACACCAAAACUCAUGGAAUUCUGUCAGAUAAAACCCUAAGUCUAGGUGUUGGUUGCAUUUGGAUCCUUUUCCAUGAUUAGUUGAUGCUUAAAUGUGAGCAUUAAGGACCGUCAACAAGCUCCCCCAAGCUUAACCUUUGCUCGUCCCUGAGCAAAGAUGAACUCAAGAGUUUCUGCAGUGGUUUCAUGCCUUAAAGGUAAAUGCGUUCAAUCAAGAUCUCAUCUCUAGGUUAGGGUAAACUGUUAAGAUUUAAACUUACUCAUUUUACCUUCCACCAUGGGGCUUGCAACCGUCACUUGUGCCUUGAGCAGUUAAAAGAUAGAACGGUCUAGUCAAGCGCCAUGUCUCUUGUUCUUGAUCAACUAUAGCUCUGGAGUUUUUGCAGAUUUUCAAAUAAAAAUCAAAGAUUCCUUGUAUGACUCUCUCUAGUCUCUCUUUUGUGGUAUUUCUGGAUCCUUACCAAGGCAGUGAUGGUGUAUGCCUUCUCUCAAAGUAUGUGGUAUUUUUGGUAUGAGGCAUAGUGGCAUUGCCUUCUCUCUCACCCUACUCUAAUAAGGUUUUGAUAUCUGGAGCUCAUAGGUGGGAGACAGCUAAUACAUACUUACAAGACAUUUAUUGCAUAGUCAAACCAUGGAUCCAGAAGAACAAGUCAAUAAGUCAAAUCAAGAUGUGCAUGUGUGGCGAAUGAAUGGUGUAUGAUGAUGAUGGUGAUAACAAUGGUGAAAAUCUAAUCCUACUUGUGCUCUUUUGAGUGGAUACAUGCCUUUCUUGCUCUUUUGAAACUUUUUGAGGAGAAUGAGAUGCUCUAUAUUUUCUUUUUAUUUUCUCUCAGGUGGGUAUCUUGUACCCCUAAUUCUACUGUCGGACACUUUUCCAUUUUUACCUCUCGUCUCACUUUUUUUUUUCUUUCGAGGUUCCGGGCACUUGCCCCUUUUUAUUUCCUCGUAUUUAUUUUUUUCUCUCUCCUUUUUAGAGCACUCAUCUCCUGAAAUAAUAUAGCAAGUGGUAGUAACCAAGAUAACUUGAGCAUUUAUUUCAAAGGGGAAAACAUAAAUGUUUUUGGCUAUUCUCUCCCGGAUUAGGAGUAGAAUAUUUUUAGGUGAUUUUGGAGAUGAAAAUGGGUGGAUAUAUGUGGAUGCGUACUUCCGAAGUAGAAGUAGCAUGUAUGAGUGAACGUGCAAGUGAAUCUUGAUUUAACCACAUGACAAGCUCCUAAGGGUCUACACAGCUUGACCACACUCAAUGCUCAUAAGUAGUAGAAAGUAAAUGUGUGGCUCAUAGUCUAGCAAGCAUGUAUAUAUGGCUGUGGUAGGAUUUUAAACUCUCAUCAUACAGGAACUCAUCAUGCAACAUUUUAAAGAUUUUUAAAGAUAAAAUUCUCCAGAAUUCUAGCAUCUCUAGGAACAGAUAAACAGCAGCUCAACCUUACCAUAUCAUAUCCGUUAACGACUUAGACUUUAGAUCAAGUACUCUUCUCACAAUUUCAGGUUUAGAGCAAAUCUUAAUUAAUAACAGUCAUGCCUAAACAUGAGAGAGAUUUCAAUUUUAAGGACUAGUCAUGGUAGAGCAACUAUUCAUCAUUUCCAUUUGAGAGCUUAUCAUGAGGGUUCAUGGCAAACUUUAUUUAUUUAUUUAUUUAGCAAACUAAGCAAAGAUAUAUAUAUAAGCACAAAAUCUUUAUUUGGGUUUAUAUGAUUAUGCAUCUUUUUAUUAUUAGAGUAAAGUAUAAACGUGAGUAGAAUACUUAGCUGGAUAAAUGGGGGUGCUCUCCCCCAAGCUGGAUUUUGACGUAAUUUCUUCUCAUGUAGCUAGCAGGUGGCUGAGGUGUAUUUGAAUGUCGGUAGCACCCUGACAGCGAUUAGGAUGUCCUCCGUCUGCUAGUCUUCUUUGAUCCUUGAAUUCUGUGGAGCUCAAAUAGACAACAAAGCUUUGUGGAACUAGUUAAGUGUUAGCAUAAAUAUCUAGCCUUUAUCAUGUUGAGCCUCCUCAAUAAAUGUUACUCUCUUUAGUAGGAUUACAAUCUUAUUUAUAUUUUCAUUUUUAUAGGAUAGGAAUAUAUAUUUAUUUUUACGCCACCACAGUGAAUGUACUUAUGGGUUUUAUGGCAUGAGCAUCUCACAUGGGGCUUACUAUUUUUAUUUUUAUUUUCUUUUCAAGAUGAUAUGAACCUGAUUAACUAAAAUAAUUGAAAGGAAAAAGAUAACUACCAAGUUUACCUCUUGGCAAGGCGUUCGGUGUUUUUAAGUCCUCCGAACGGGACUCUCUAUUUUCUCAGUUGUCCAAGAAUUCGCUGGAUGGCGUAGUCGGUGGUUCCGGCGGCGCGUACUCUUCAUGUAUAACUAUCUUCUUUCUCCACACCUACCUUGGUGCACUUCUCCUUCGUACUCUGCCCAUCCGUCCUUUAUGAUUUUCCUCCUCUGGUUACGGUUGCGUCGUCUUCUUCUUGUCCUGACCUGCUUAGAGUCUUCAACUAUAUAGUUAGGGUCAGUAAAAUAGCGGCGUACCUUCUCAGAGGGGAAAUGCAUGUGGACUUCUCCAGUUCCAAUGUAGAUGAUCGCUUUAACGGUACUGAGGAACGGUCUUCCAAUGGUGAUGGGUGGACUGUACUCGUCUUCUCCCAUGUCAAUAACCUUAAAAUCAUCUAGAGGUGAAUGUAUGUUGGUUGUAGGGGCAUGGUUCCAUGCAGGAGCUCAUAAGUGACUGCGGCCAUUAUGUUGACGUUAGAUCCGGUGUCGUAGUGUCUUCUGAAAAGAAUAUCCGUUGAUUGUGCAUCGAUGCUUGGAACACCAGGGUCGUCCUUCUUGAUCAAGAAAGGUGACUUGAGUUGACGAUCUUAACCUCCUUGAGCUGCAGUGACCAUCUUAGCUGACUCGGUACACAUUUGCUUGUUCCUGUUCCUCCUAUUGGUCCUUCCUUGGUUCAUGUCAGGAUUGCUCUA
RNAcentral lists this long non-coding RNA (76089 nucleotides) under Sorghum bicolor (sorghum). Its description in RNAcentral is "long non-coding RNA (SBIC_LNC003085)". Lineage: Eukaryota; Viridiplantae; Streptophyta; Magnoliopsida; Poales; Poaceae. The record is from RNAcentral.